This 46489-nucleotide long non-coding RNA is filed under the name Hordeum vulgare. Lineage: Eukaryota; Viridiplantae; Streptophyta; Magnoliopsida; Poales; Poaceae. The record is from RNAcentral.
UGACGCGUAGGUCAGAUGAGCUAGUGCUCUAGGGGCUCGCUAGUAAAAAUUGGCUCCAAGGGUGCUCUUACUGGCUCUAAUUAAGCCGGUACCUGAAACCCAAUCGGGCGGCCGGAGGCGGGGAAUACGACCUUCCGGGCGCCCUUCGAGUGUGUGGGCGAGGCUCUGUAGUGGAGGAGGGUGGGUGGUGGCACUAGCAAGAGCUCGGAGGGUCUAUUUACAAGUAGCCGCGAGGGGAGCCAUGGGGGGCCAACUCCACCGACAUGUUUUGGCGAGAUAGAGGGGUUAGCGGGUAUUCACUGGGUUGGGUGAGCUGCUAUGGUGUGUGGCUGAUCCAUUUUGCUCAUGAACACGACCUAAUGCGGGCAGGGACAUGCUAUCAAUGGGGCAGCUCGUCACGGAUGCUUCGGCAGCAGAAUACACGCUCUGUGUUGUCCAGCGCAUGGUGACGGGCAUCACGGCACGCAGGGGUGGUGGACGGGAAUGCGGUGCUUGCUGAGCGCUUGGGCGGUGCCGGGCGGCGCGACUUUGUAGCAAUGGCUACUGGCGGCCACGACAACCGUCACUAGCGCUGCCACCAGAGUUGGCAGGUUGAAGCCACCUAACCACUGACACGCGCAACCGGCCAAGGGACCGUGUGGUGCGGUGGAUAGGCUUGGGGCACAGUGCACAAGUUGCGAGGGUUGCCAUUGGUGAGAUUGACGAUGAACUCCCUCCCCCCUCGAAUAGUGCACACCACUUGUUCGACAGAAACAAAACUGCACAAGGAAAAGAUCUAGGUGCUGAAAAUUUCUGGGGUGGCCUCUCAUUGAUCCCAGAGGCUGCGUGUAAAUUUUCAGAAUUUUUAGAAAAGUUUAAGUUAGUUUGUUAACAAAAACAGCCAAACUUGGUCAAACUUUGAUCAAACCUAAUUUGAUAAUUUUAAACAAGAGACCAGAAUGUUUUUGGUGAAAUGAGUUGUGGGUACCUAGGUCUGCAAUGGAUAGGUAUUUUAGUGUCAGCAACCAAAGGGAACUAAUAGUUCCUUUACAAAUUUUUGGGGGCUAAAACUGAUCACAGAAAUUGUCUUUCGUUAAAAUAAAAUAUAAAACUCAAUCAAAUUGUCCCCAAACCUUUUAAAAGGAGUCUUGAAGCUAAUGGAGGGUCAUGGGCAAGAAAUUAUAGAGGGGAGAAGAGAAGAGCACAUUUGUUAAACUAGUUACCAAAAUUUUGGGGCACUCAUCGCAUAGGAGAUUUUUAAGAAGAUAUUUUAAAACGGGUUAUCCAAGAAAACUUUGUGAAGAAGAAUUUCAGCAAGACUCUUCCCUAAAGGAGAGUAGUUAUCAAAAGAACCAUCAAAGGGUUUUGAUCUAGAAAGUAUUUUCAACGAAUCCAAAAAUGUUUUUGUAAUUUUUUUUUGGGAAAUCCACUCAAAAGUAAUUAAAACUCAGAAAAAUCCAAAUUGGAACUUUGAGGGUGUUACGACACCUACCCCCUUAAGAAAAAUCUCGUCCCCUAGAUUUCAGCCAUUCCUCAAGCAAGUGCAGAUGUUCCUUUUGCAAAAAGUCUUCUCUUUCCCAAGUAGCCUCAUUCUGUGAAUGGUUACUCCACUAUACCCUGAAUAGCUUGGUGACCUUCUAAUGUGUCUUCCUUUCUACUUCCUCUAGUAUCCUUACGGUGUGUUCCUGGUAAGUGAGGUCUAGUUGCACCUCUAUGUUGUCGUGGGAUACCUGUUGGUAUAGAUUUCUCACACAGUUCCUUAACUGAGAAACGUGAAAGACGUCGUGCACGUCUCACAACUAUGUGGGUAGGUCGAGGUGAUAGAAAACCUGGCCUCUUCACAUGAUUAUCUGGAACGGUCCGAUAAAGUGGGGUGCGAGAUUGCCUUUGACCUUGAUUCUUUGCAAUCCCGUCAUUGGUGAUAGUUUGAGGUACACAUAACCGUUUGGCUCAAAGCCGAUGUCACGUUGUUUUUUAUCAUAAUAGCUCUUCUCACGGCUUUGGGCUGUCUUGAGUCGAUCCGUGAUGAUCUUUACUUUGUUCUCAGCCUCUUGAAGCAUGUGUGGGCCGAAGAUAUGACUAUCCCCGGUCUCUGACCAAUUUAGUGGUGUAUGGCACCUUUGUCCGUACAAGGCUUCAAAAGGUGACAUUUGCAGACUUUCCUGGUAGUUGUUUGUUGUAAGAAAACUCAGCGUAAGGCAAACUGUCCUCCCAAUUGUUCCCAUAUGUUAGUACACAUGCCUUGCGCAUGUCCUCCAGAAUCUGGUACACACGCUUGGUCUGUCCUCCAUCCUAAGGGUGAUAUGCUGUGCUGAAGACUAAUUGUGUUCCCAAGGCUUGUUGUAAAUAAUAUCAAAACCUUGAGGAAAACGAAGUGCCUCGAUCGUACAUUAUGGUCUUCGGGAUCCCGUGGAAGCAGACAAUGCAAGCGAGGUACAACCUAGCUAACUUCUGUGUGGAGUAAGUGGUCUUCAUUGGAAAGAAAUGAGGCACCUUGGUGAGUCGAUUAGUGAUAACCCAUAUAGCAUCGUGUCCGUGUCGUGCUGGGGUAGUCCGACAACAAAGUCCAUGCCGACCUCAUCCCAUUGCUGGCAGGAAUCACAACAUGCAAUGAAAGAAGAGAUAUCUCUAUUCAUUUCAUGCCACCAAUAUUUUGUCUGUAGGUCCUUCUACAUUUUUGUGCCUCCUAGAUGGAUCGAAUACGACACGUUGUUAGCCUCUUCCAAAAUUUGCACCUUGAGGUCCUCUUAGUCUCGUACGCAUAGUCAGUCGCCGUACCAUCAUAUCCCUUAUUCGUCAAUAAUAAAUUUGGGGGCCUUGCCUAGGUCACCUUUCUUUUUAUGCCUUCAAUACUAGGGUACUCGUUCUGAGCCUUCUUGAUCUGCUCAUCUAGAGUGGGUUGUACUUCCAUUUGUGCAACAGUGCCUUCUGGAACGAGAAGCACGUUUAGUCGAGCGAACUCCUGAAUGAAUUCAGGUCUUAAACUUUGUACAGUGCCAUUGUCUGGAGUGGGGUUCCUACUAAGACCAUCGGCUACCACGUUGGCUUUACCAGGAUGGUAAUGAAUACCCACAUCAUAAUCUUUAAUUAAUUCUAACCAACGGCGCUGCCGGAGGUUGAUAUCUGGUUGAGUGAAGAUAUAUGUGAGACUCUUGUGAUCGGUGUAAAUUUCAAAGUGAUUUCCAAGUAAGAAAUGUCUCCAUUCCUUGAGAGCUGUAUCAUGGCAGCUAAUUCCAAAUCAUGAGUGGGUUAAUUUUCUUCAUGUCGUCAUAAUUUCCUUGAGGCGUAAGCCAUGACUUUUCCUUCCUGCAUGAUUACACAUCUAAGGCCUUUCCUUGAGGUGUCACAGUAUACUUCAAAAUUCUUGUGUAGAUCAGGGACGAUUAACACUAAUGCAGUCGUGAGUCUCUUCUUCAACUCAUGGAAGCUAUUCCCGCAUGCUUCAGUCAUUUUGAAAAUUUUAUCCUUUUUGAACAACUAGGUCAUGGGCUUGGCAAUGGUGGAGAAACCUUGAAUGAAUCUCCCGUAAUAUCCUGCCAUUCCGAGGAAACUCUGCACAUCUGUCAUGUUGGCUGGUUUGUACCAUCCAUUUAUGGCCUUGACCUUCUCAGGAUCCACUACUAUGCCUUCUUGGGUCAUUACAUGGCCCAAAAAUCUGACUUAUUUUAGCCAAAAUUCACAUUUGUUGAAUCUGUCAUAUAACUGAUGCUUCGCAACUCACCUAAUGCAAUUCUUAGGUGUUGCGCGUGCUCUUCGGGUGUCUUGGAGUAGAAAAGUAUGUCGUUGAUGAAUACUACGACAAAUUUAUCCAUGUACUUCAUGACGACCUUGUUCAUUAGAUGCACGAAAUAUGUUGGGGCAUUUGUUAGUCCAAAAGGCAUCACAGUAGACUAGUACACUCUAUAUCGGGAUGUAAAAGUCGUUUUGGGAAUAUCUUCCGGGUGUAUCUUUAACUCAUGAUACCCCAACCAUAAGUCAGUCUUCAAGAAAAUAUUUGCUUGUGACAGUUGGUUUAAUAAAUCAUUUAUUCGGGACAAAGGAUACUUGUUCUUGAUGGCGGCCAUGUUGAGAGCUCGAUAAUCGACGCAUAGUCUUAGUGUUCUGUCUCUCUUUUUGGCAAACAGUACUAGCGAUCCACAUGGUGAGGAGCUGGGUCUGAUGUACCCUUUGUCCAAUAGUUCCUUUAUUCGUUUCUAAAAUUCGACCAAUUCGGUAGCUUCCAUAUGAUAAGGCUUCUUGUAUAUUCGGGAUGUACCGGGUGCAAGUUCAGUGACGAACUCUAUCUCUCGGUCUAGUGGUAUACCUCGUAGUUCUUCGGGAAACACGUCCGGGAAUUCACAUACAACCGGAACAUCCUUUAGCCCAGAGAUGUCCAUUUUGCUCAGUUGGGCUUGCGUUGGUUUGGUUCUCUCCAAGGCUACAACUUUUACUCCUUUUCCCUUAUGAUGGGUGAGGGUUACAGUCUGGUUGAGGUAGUCAAUAAAUCCUUUGUUGGCAUUCAACCAAUCCAUUCCCAAAACGACAUCAAGAUUGUUGCUCUUGGGGACCCCGAGUGUCAAACUGAACUUGGCAGUCACAAUUAUAUUUGCCCAGAGUGUCAAACUGUGGGGACCCCGACUAGUAAGUCGAGAUCGCCGUGCCCAGUGACCCCAAGGAUCAAUGCUCACUGAACACAGAUACUGAAUAAUAGAGUCUUACAUCCAAAUACCGAUAUUACAUAAAAUGACCGAAGGGUCAGGUUCACAAGCAGGGCCUAAGGCCAAUUAAAACGGGUACGAUGGGUAGCAGAAACUCAUAAGAGCUAAGCGGGUGCCCAUGCCAUCAAGCUUACACCGACAUGCAUUCUGACUUGGAAGCGUCCUAGAUCGUAGGUCCGUCUCCGAAGACGUUCUCAUCACCAAACUACGGUCCUUCCAUGUCUGGUCAAGAAUAUAACCAGUGGCAAGCCAAUGAGUACUUUCAAUGUACUCGCAAACAGCCCAUGAUAUGAAUAAUGAAAGUGAAGUACAACAAUAACAUGCAGCUUUGAUGAAAUGCAACUUGGUGGGAAGAUCAUGUAUAUGCAUCAAGCUAAAAAUUACUCUUGAAGAACAGGUUACAGAUGCCCUCGCAUCUGUCAAGGGCUGAACAAUCCGGCUUCACCCUAUAUGCCAAGUCACCGAACUUGGUCAUAUCAAUUCAUCUUGUAACACCAAUUACCACACAUACACACACAAAAACUCACACUUGGUUUAUGCGGAAACGCUGGACGUAGUUUAAGCAGGAUUACCCAACUGUCCUUGACCAUGGACACGGCUAUUUGAAUAGUUUACACUCUGGAGAGGUAGUACGCUGGACGCACGAGAUCCGGGAAACUUUCGUGUCAUCCACGACUCGCGGUAUAUCACAUACCCGAGGUAAGUAUCUGAUCAAUGCAUUUCCCCUAAUGAUACUAGACAAAGAGGUCCACUCAAUUGGUACCCAACCGACAUGUUGUACGUCUUACGAGCACCGACUCUGGACAGUAUCAACCAUGCGGGGACCAACGGUGUGCCUGGAACUCAUAAAAAUGGCAUAGUCGCCCUUCCUAGCACGACCCCAUCACAAGAGUGACAAUAAUCACUCCCGCCACUAGUAAUGUGGCUCUUUGCUAGUACCGACCAGAGUAAUCAACAAAGCCCCGUCCCAUAAAUGGGUAACAUGGUCGCACAUGUAUGGUUGGGACGGUCGACACAUCAUAAAUCUAAUCCCAUUUCCGAAACCAUACUCACACAAAACACCGGUGCACCACUUCACCAAAAGUGGCCACCCAUCUCAUCAUCACCCUCGGGCAUUAGUGGCACCCGACGGGGUUUUUCAUAAACCUUUGAUUUAACUCAACAUCAUGUUCAUGCAAUGGUUCUCUAAAUCUACUAGUCAACGUGAUAGUAACAUGAUCCUCAUAGAUGGUAGGAUCAAGCUCAUCAUGCUUGUGCUCCGAGGAGCCAUAUGUAUAACAUCACCAUCAUGCAAGUGCUUCAAAGAAGCCUUCGGUACCAUCACACCAAUGAUGAACCGGCACUAUGAUAACAUGCAACGGAAAAGUACUUGCUAUUCUAGCAUGCAUCAAUUUAUAUUCUCAAGUCAUGGUCAAAGGGCUGCUUGCCUUGGUCAGCUAGGUAUCCGGGGUCUUCGAGGUCUUCCACUCCGAAUCCUUCGUCACUCGGUAAUUCUAUCAUCGAGAAUAUAAUAAAUAAGAAAUAGCUCACACAAAAACAGAUCACAAAUCACUUUUAAAAAUGUUGCAAAACUUUGUUAAAUUCAGGUUGUUAAUUAGAAAAAUAUCUUCUCUUAGUUUUUACUAGCUAAGCAUUUUUAAUAAUUACUAAACAGGGUCAAACUAUUGCCUUUAAUGCCUUUAUAUUAUUAUAAAAUAGAUUCUGUUCUUGAAAAAUGCCAACAAUGGCAGAAUCAAAUACUACUCAUUUUUAGAAAAAUAUAUUUUUCCACUGGGUAGUUAUUUUUACAAAAAUCAUUUUAGUCUCUGUUUUAAAAAUAAAAGAAAAAGGCCAAAGCCUGGCCUGGGAAGUAGGCCAGCCCAGCCAGCCACCAGGCUGCCAGGCGCGCGCGCGCGCCAGGUUCGAACCUGACGAGCGGGCCCCUAGGGUCAGUGGCUGUGGCUGCGCGCGGGGGCUGCUCCAGGACGCCGACAGGUGGAGCCCACGUGCCGGGUUCUUCCCCUACCUUCGGCCAGGGAGGAGGAGAUGAACUCCGGCGAGGCUACCGUCGUCCUUGGGCCUAGCUAAGGGUAGGAAUGGGUUCAGCGUGCCUCCCCCUACCUGCAUAUGGUCAGGACAGCGCCAGAGAGGCUUGGAGUCGCCGGCGACGAUGUGGCCAUGGCGGAGGAGUUUUUGGGACGUGGUUGAACUAGUAGCUAGGGGCACGGAAUCGCUCAGGGCAGUUGGGGGAAAGGUUCCUGGUGUCGAGGGGAGUGCUCUGGUGGGUCGAGUGUCGCAGGAGUCGGCGUGUAGCCGGAGAUCGACCAGAGCUCCGAAGCGGAGGGGCCUCGGUCGAUCUCGAGCACCGGGGCUCUACGAGCUCGAUUGGGUGGCUAGGGAGGAGCUAGUGGUCAUGCAAAGGCUGCUGAAGGGGUGCUGAGGCGCCGGGGAGGCCUAUUUAUAGGCUCGCGACGGUGAGCGUGCAUAAUGAGGAGCUAGCAGCGAAACCAUGGUCUCCAGAUGUGGUUUCGGAUGCUCUGAAGCAUCGGUCGCAGAGGGAGAAGGUGUAUGGUCGAGCUGCGGUGUCUGUGCAUGCUCGACCGAGUCGGGUGCGCGCGGGCACGCGUCGCCCAAGCUUUAGCGCAGGAGAGGAGGGUCCCUGGCGGCUACUUUACACAGAGGGGUUGUCGGGGGAGGACUUGGACACUUCGGGGGAGGUUGGGACCGGCCGGGAGCGUCGUCCCCUUCUCGGGGGCUGCAUGUAGCGCGUCCAGAGCACAGUUUUGGCAUGCCACGGCAUGCUGCCGCGCUCUGGGGUACUUUAGACAUGUCCCUCAUAUCUUGGGUGUUGCUGGGAGUGUUUCUAGCCGUUGUAUGCUAGUGAGAGCACUGGCUGGUCAAGGGGGACAUGUUUCACUAGUGUUGCCAGCCCUGAUCUGUGGCAUAAAUUGGGGUUCUUGUCACUUGUGGUUUGAACUAGGGAGGGGCUAGUUGACUGGGCUUUCCAGCACAGUGGNNNNNNNNNNNNNNNNNNNNNNNNNNNNNNNNNNNNNNNNNNNNNNNNNNNNNNNNNNNNNNNNNNNNNNNNNNNNNNNNNNNNNNNNNNNNNNNNNNNNAAGAAAAAGAAGAAGAAGGAGAGAAGAAGAAAAAGAAGAAGAGAAGAANNNNNNGAAGAAGGAGAAGAAAGAGGAGNNNAGAAGAAGAAGGAGAACAAGGAGGGAUCCUUCUCCUUCUUCUCCUCCUUCUUCUUGUCUUCUUCUUCUCUUCUUCUUCUUAUUCCUUCUUUUCAUUUUUCCUAUUUCAAUUGAGCUUAUUAUGUUAUUUUGGAGCUAAAUUAGCUAAGUUAUGAAACUAGUGGUUUCACUAACCAUUUUUUCUAGUAGGAAUCAUGUAGGAGCUUAUUAUGUCAUUUUGAAGAAAACUUCCCACACUGGUCAUCAAGGAGGAGAAACACCACGUUUGCUCGCGUCGGCUUCGUUUGCAGACGGUUGCCAUGGAGAAGGGUCGUGCGGUGCCGCUCGGUAGUUAUUCUACAGAAAAGAUAUUUUGCAAUGUAUCAGUUAGCAUGAUGACACUCAAUUGUUAAUAUUAGUUUAUAAUGACCAUUGAAAUGAAACUCAUUGUGCCAAUCGUAGAGAAGAUGGCAUCGACGGAGGGGCUUGACCUGUCUUCUCACACAUAGACUUCACAUUCGGUUUUGAAGAGUUAGUCGUAUUAGUUAGUAAUGAAACAGACAUUACACACAUGAUUUGACUAAUGUAGAAAAGAAACUUACCACAAUAAGCUCGUACAUGGCCAGGUGAGCCGCCUCAUUCCGGGCCCUCUCCUCCUCAAUAAACCGAGCCGUGGUCCGGUCCCUCUCGUCAAGAGCAGCCUGAAGAGCAGUCUAGCUUGCCAAUCUCUAUUUCUCAAGAGGAGCCUGGUUUGCCGCUCUCUCUUUCUAAAGAGCAACCUGCAACACCAUUCCUUGUUACCACAGUAAUGAUCGAUGGCCACACACACAAUGAAAUGGAUGAAAGUUUCCUGGGUCCAUACAACUAACCUCGAUGGCAAGAUCGACUGGCUGUGGACGAGGCGUUAUCUCGGGACAGGAGCUCGACUGGCGCGCCUUGAUCUCCGGGUGAGUGAGUGGACAACGUAUUAUCCCAUAUCCAAUGGCUAUCGAGCCAUGGGGCCUCCUGCCACCAGAUAUCAUCACCAGCUCUGGAUAAAAAGGUUACUGGCUCGGGUUAAAGUCCUCCCCUUUCCAAGCCUUCCCCGUGUCCCUGUAUUUCAUGAGCUUGUGGUGGGAUGAGAUGUUGGUGAAGUUAUUUGGAUCAUCCAGGUCAGACUCAGAGAAUGCCUUCGCCUUCUUGUACGAGGCGGUAUGGGCCAUGCCAUAAAGGUCGUACAACUCUGGCAUCUCCGUCUUAUUGUGAUGCACCUAAAAGAGAGGAACAAAGUAUUAGUAAGGGGCUCAAAUCUAGCAUUAAGAAUGAAUAGCAUGAAUCGUGAAGCAAACCGCAUACCCAGUUUUGUCUGAACUGAAGUAAGUUGUGCUGCCUUGAUGGUGUGGCACACCAACCAUUUGGCUACGCCGAUCCUUCGCAUUGUCAUGGACGGCUCGCCAGUUGCCUGUGCACCACUCAUCCACCAACGCCUCCCAACAAUCCAUCUUAUCCGCACACCAUCUCGGGGGCACCUAUAAGUUAUGAGAAAGAAUUUUGAGCGCUACGCUUAUGAAUCAAAUCAAGAAAACUAUGUACAAGGCCUUAAGAAUAGGUAAUUACCUUCAUCUACUGCUCCUUCUUCAUAUACUUUCAGCGACACUCCUUCUUCUGCUUCUUAAUACCACGUGUGGCGUAAUAGUCUCGAAGGGCCUGCGGCCGAGCCUCGUGGUGUAAGUUCUGUAAUAACCGCCUACACUCGUCCUUGAUAACCUUGGCCGCCUCCUCCUCAUAUCCAUCCUCACACCUAUAGAAGGUCUGCAAUCAAACGAGACAACACCGAUUAGUACUAUAAUUAGCUACAUUGUUAAUUUUAGAUUGUGUAAAUGCAUAAUUUACCCAAAAGCUGUUAAUCACCAUCUCGGACCUCGUGUGGCACAAGAAACCAUCUAUAAUCUCAUCCGGCGGGGCCUGCGCGGCCUGGUAGUGCUCCCAGGUAAAUCCUAGUGUAGGAACGUGACCCUCACCAGGCAACGCGACAAACCCCGGGAAAUUUGUCCGGCAAAGCACACCAAGAACGUUGUCUGGCUUGCGGACUCCACCAGGGUGUUUCCAUCCUCUGCAGUAUGAUAAGGUCAACGCAUUGGAUAUUUGAAGAAACUUGAAGGCAGAAGCUAAAAAAAGAGUAAAUGUACUUACCUAUCCCCUUCAGGCCUAAUCACCGGCCUCUGCUCGUGAGUAGUCGGCGCGACCGAGAGACGUGUAAUACCAUGCUUGUACAAGGUGGCCCCGUCCACCUGCGCGUUGCCCUCACUAUCCGUAGACUCAUCCCCUCCAUCAACAGAACAGCCACGCGGACCCUCGGUCCAAUCCGGAACCUCGGUCCGAUCCGACCAGGCACCCCAUCCGGACGUCUCCACGUUGGUCGAAGCGUGUGUGGCAGGAGUCUCUUGGGACGUAGCCUCAGGAACCGGAGUCUCGUGGGCCGAAGGCACCUCGACCCAAGGCUGAUCCUGGACCUGAGUCUCAUGGGUCGAAUGCCCAUCCACCCGAGGCUCCUGUACUGGAAUCCCCGUAGCCUCCUCCGCAAAUGGGUCCACCAUAGUAGUCUUGUGCUCGGGUGAAUGAGCUGGUGGUGGUGGCAAGGAUGGCGCAACAGUCCGCCUCCCUCUUCCGCGGCCACCACCUCACCAUGUACCCUUCCCCUUCUUCCCUACCCGACCAGCACCUCUUUGAGUGGGCAAUGCCGCCGACGAACAAGCAACCGCGGGUGGUGUCGUCAGACUGUCUGCCAAGGCUCUACGGAGAGAUAGGGGUGGAAUGGAAGUACCACCCCUCGUGCGGGCCACCGAAGAAGAACCCGUCGAGCGAUCUGGACCCGCGCCCACCAUCUUUCAACACCUGCUGACCUGCCAUGAUAAAGAUUAAAAGAAAUUAGUACAACAUAAAAAAAUUGAAUAACUGACAUGAAUAAUAAUAUGUACAUAUAUAAUUUAAGUUGGAAAUCUUACAAACUAAUAAUCAUCAUCAAUAAAUGCAUCAUCAACAUCAAUGUCACGCAUGUCUUCAUGAAUGAUGUGCUCAUCGGAUUCAACGGCAUGAAGUUGUGGAAGGCCUUUCUAUAAUCAGUCAAGCAUUGAUAGGUCAUCUGCAUCAGUAACCUCUUCUAGCUCCAGCUCUACUGGUUCUGGUUCCGGCUCAUGUGUAUGGGUUAAUGUGAGGUUCAUAAUCCUAUUCAUUUGGGGGAGGUGGCUAACACGUGGCGACACUUCAUAAACAACAUACCAACCUUCUAGAUUCUUAUCAUUUUGGCAUUCCCACGGUAGAUAGAAAACUUGGGUCGCGUGUUGAGUCGUAAUAUAGACAUCGGGAACAUCUAUAUGGGUGUUUGGAUUGAUUUUGACUAGUCCUGUAUGUUCAUGAGUCCUUCUAGUCUCCUUCGGCUGGAAAAAAUAACAUUUGAAGACUACGAUGUUUGGUGGGUUUUCACCAUAGAAUUGAAGUUCAUAAAUUGCUUCAACUCUUCCAUAAUACUCGAUACCACCUUCGCCGAUAGCAGAGAAACAACAAUUUGUAGAUUACCGGUCGGGCAUAGAUAGCUCUUUGCCAAAGGUACGAAAGAGAUACCCGUUGAUGUUGUAUUUCUCAAAUGAACGGGCCUUAUAGUGAAAACCAUUAGCACCUUGUCUCAAUUUGGCGUCCAUAGACUCUGAAUUAGCCUACAAGUUUCAUACGAAACGGUUGUUGCAUUAGCCAAAAGUUCGACCAAGAAAUGAAAUGGUCCAUUAUUUAUAAUUACCGUUUGUUUGAACCAAGUGAUGAAACCGGGAUAGCUGCCUCCAUGCUUUGCCAGAAGCUCAUACUCUUCGACGGAAUCAUUUUGGAUCACCGCUCCAUCGGAGAAUUUGGCGACGUAUCAGCUAUAUGAAAUAUCCGGGAAUAAGAGCAAUUCAAAGGAAUUAGAAGUUACAGAAAAAUGUGCCGAGAACUUACUCGAUGUACAGCCGCACUUCUGUUAGGUUGUUGAAGAUAUACAACAAAAUGUUUCGCCAUUCUUCGACAUCCAACGUUAUUGGUUUCGAAGCACCGACUAGUGGGAGCUUCCCUUUGAAUAGGCUAAGUUUGGAUCCACCUUUUUUAGGGUCUGCAUCAUCGUACCAAGGCUUCGGAUUAUGCAAAUUAUGAUUUUUGGCUUCGUAAUGUGUUGUCACAAUGUUUGCCACCUCCUCAGUAAUGAAUGCCUCAGCCAUCGAUGCUUCAAUUCUAUGCUUAUUUUUAUAUUUAGCUCGAUGCGUCUUCUGCAUCCUCUCAGUUGCAUAGCAUCAACGAUUUUGCACGGGCCCACUCAAUCUUGCCUCGGUCGGUAGAUGUAAAAUCAAAUGAUGCAUUGGAUUAAAGAAGCCCGGCAGAAAGAUCUUCUCUAACUUGCACAACAACUCUGGUGCAAACUCCUCCAUGUCAUCUACCACUCCAGGCGACAAUUCUUUCGCACAAAGAACACGGAAGUAAUAGCUCAGCUCCGCUAGUACUAGCCAUUCAUCCUCAGGAAUAAAGCCACGUAACAUCACCAGCAUUACCCGCUCAAGCCAUAUGUGCCAAUCAUGACUCUUGAGACCAAAGAUUUUAAAUUUUUCAAGACUCGCUCCCCUCUUUAGAUUCGGUGCAUACCCAUCGGAGAACAUCAAGUGCAUUUUGACCCACAAGAUAAUUUCCCUCAUAGCUGGUCUUCCAAGAUUGAACCAGGCCUUUGGCUUCGACCACUUCUGCUUUGCUUUGCCUUCUCGCAUGUUUUGUAAUAGUUUGUGACAUAGUGUCUCUUGAUCGACUCUAGCCUUAGUAUUAUCCUUUGUUUUCCCAUCUAUGUCGAACAAUGUACCAAAAGUAGCCUCUCCGAUAUUCUUUUCAGUGUGCAUCAUGUCGAUAUUGUGUGGAAUAAGGAGGUCUUUGAAGUAAGGCAGAUCCCACAAGCAUGGCUUGUGUGUCCAAACGUGUUUUGAAUUAUACCCCUUGAAAUACCCUGGACGCUCUGGAUCAGGCUCGAGGGCGUUUAACUGAUCCAGGAUCUGUUGGCCUGUCAACGCAGGUGGUGCCAAGUUUUUGACAACUUUACCUUUGGUAAAGUUCUUCUUGUCUUUUCGGAACUAGUGGUCAGGAUCCAGGAACUGUCUAUGCAAGUCAAAGCAAGGAUACUUCUGACCCUCCUGCAACCAAUGAAACUGAAGAACUGCCUUGCAUGUGGGGUACGAGAACCUUCCAUGCACACACCAUCUAGAGAAUAGCGCCUACGCCGACAAGUCAUGCAUAGAGUACAUGUACCACACAUGCAUUUUCAAGUUUUCUUUUCUAUUGGCAUCGUAUAUCUUUUCCCCAUUAUCCCAAGAUUCUUGCAAUUCAUCCUUAAGCGUCUGCAUGUACACAUUCAUAUUCUUACCCAGAUAAUUGGCCCCUAGAAUUAUCAACGUCAGAAAUAUGUUCUUUCUUUGCAUUAUCUGCCCAGGGGGUUGCUUGAGUGGAAUGACAAAUACAGGCUAACUACUGUAUUGGGUUGCCGUCAUGCCGAAGCGAUUAAAACCAUCCGUGGUGAUGCAGACUCGAGGAUUCCUUGGAUCUACCGCUUUAUCCUGAUGCAAUCCAUCGAAAUGUUUCCAUGCUUCCCCAUACGAUGUGUGUACCGACAUAUUAUUCCCAUCCGCAUCUAGUUCGGUUCUUUUGCCAAUUUUGUGCCAUGUCAUCUGUUUGGAUGUCUCUUCGACUAUGAAAAGACGUUGAAACCUUGGUAUGAUUGGCAUAUACCGAAAAGCACUAACUGCGAUUUUGGUCUGCCUCUUCUCACUCAUACCGUUGUCUACCACAAUAUACAUGCAAGACUCGCAAUUGGGACAAUAGUCCAAGUGUGCAUACGCCUUCCUAAAUAAGACACAACCUUUCUAACAUGCAUCUAACUUCUCAUAGGGCAUCUUAAGUACACGAAGUAUUUUGUCCGACUGGUACAGGUUUGCAGGCAAGACAUAGCCUUUGGGUAGAAAGCAUCCAAAUACUAUCAUCAUCGCAUCGUAGCAUUCUCUUCCCAAGUUGAACUGAGCCUUCAGAGCCAUUACUUAUGCAAUGGCAUCCAGCUGACAAAGCUCAAGUGCUCGUGGAGAGGACGUUUUGAAGACUCCAACAUUUCAUAGAAGGCCUCUGCAGAUUCCUCCAUCUCAUCUUCUGAAUCCCGAGCAUCAUCAAAGUCUUGCACCAUGUCUUCGAUCCCGGUACCAUGCUCGUCGGUGCGAUGACGAACCACCUCAGCUCUGGUGCGUUGUAUAGACUCACCAUAAAAUGUCGAAACCGUAUAAUUAGGCUUAAAACCCCUCCUCUCCAGGUGUUUAAUCAUUACAGCCUCUGUCCUCUUUUUACAGUGGCCGCAUUCAAGACAAGGGCACCAGUUUGUUUCCUGGCCAUUUGCAAAUGUGGCUUUCACAAACUCCUUGGUUUUUAGAAACGAUUCUUUCGUGAUCUCUUUCUGACUAAGGUGACCGGUGUACAUCCACACAGGAUCACUCAUCUUGCCUAGUUACUAAACACACAAGAAAUAUAUUUAUAUAUAAUUCGGCAUAUAUAUUCAUCAGUUAAUCAAGUUCGCCAGUUUUAUUACGUCCACGCAACCUACACGCUAAUAGGUAAACAUAGGUCCUAAUACCACCCGACUAUGUGUAGAUGGGUUCAUUUUCCCCUGCUCUACUCUGGAUCCAACACAAAAUUUUGGCAGCACCUUCCCGCCGUUCUCCUGAUACACGUCUCCGCAAUAAACAGAGAGGAUGUGUAUCCAGAGAACAAAAGGGAGGCAUUGACGAAAAUAUGCAUCGGAUCCGGAAAAAAGAAAAUUGCAAAACGAGCGCAAUCAACACAUUGUCGGGCUAUCCAUGGAUAACGUUGGACAAUCAGAAGAAUCACGGUUAUAAAUAUAUGCAAAUGCAUGCAUAUUUAUAGCUGUAACCCUUUCGAACGGGAGACGCAUACUGGUCACGCAUAGUGAUAAAUUAAUUUAAUUACCUAUAUCUAGCAAGUUUCAUCCGAAGACCGACCCACAUCAAAUGAAGGGGCAAGGAGGAGAUGCCAUUUGUACUCACCCACGAAUGCAGGGGCGGAGCUCGUAGAACGGAGGUCUUCACACAACAGACCUCACAGCAACGAGACAACUGUCACAUGUAAAUCCACCCGAUCAACACAAAUAUUUUGUGUUCAUUAAUAAAAUCAAAAAAAUAUACGACCUAGCAUAAAUAUAUAACCUAUAUAGAUGUCAUCUAGGGUUCAAUAAAAAAAAUCGUGUCGGGGUGUCGUCGAGAUGUCGUAUCUAGGGGUCGUGUCGGGGUUUCGGGGCAUCGUGUCGUGUGUUAGGGGUGUCGUCCAGAUGUCGUGUUGGUGCGACAACUGCUAUUGCGAGUUGUUGUUGUAUCCUCGGUGCUGCAGUGGAAUAUCACCGGUGCCUCAAGGGGGUAGUCCCACCGGUAAUGUUUCUGCACCGACCUCAUGGGGGUGGUUGCAGUAGCAUCGUUGUUGCAGCCCGUGAGCUCAAUGGCGUCGUAGCCAUGGCAGGUGCAUGACAAGCUCACCGACGUUUCCUAACGUUGUGGCUAGUCCAAGAAUAGGCGGCGGCCGGGGGGCUCUACACGGGCUACUACUAACCUAACAACUAACCUAACGCACAUUAGGUAAUUAAAAACUAACCUAACAACUAACCUAAUUAACAGUAGGUAAUACCACUAACAACUAACCUAAUUAUCACUAACAACUAACAACUAACCUAACUAACCUAAUUACCAGUAGGUAACCACUAACAACUAACCUAACUAACCUAACUAACCUAACUAACAGUAGGUAAUUAACAACUAACCUAACUAACCUAAUUAACAAAUUAAACGAAAAAAGGAAAAAAAAUAAGGACUCACCGGAGGGGGCGGCCGGACGAUGAGGACGGCGCAGGGAAGACGACCGUAGAGGAGGAGGGGGCGCAGGGAGGAGGCGGUGCGCUGGGAGGAAGGGGUCGGCGUGGUGGAAGAGGGGCGACACGAUGGUGAAGGAGGGGGUCGUGGGGAGGAGGAGGGCGCGGCGGUGGAGGAGAGGGCGGUCGUGGCAGAGGGGCGGUCGUGGAGAAAGGGCGAGCUCCAGCGGCGGUGGUGGAGGAGUAGGUCCCAGGGAGGAGGAGGGGCAUGGUGGAGGAGGGGGCGCACGGAGGAGGAGGGCGUGGCGGCACAGGGAGGACGAGGGCGCGGCAGCGGUGGUGUUUUCGGGUUUGAGAGAGAGGGGUGGGUGGGGCGCGACGACCGUUAGGGGAGAGAGGCACUUGGGGGUGGGCGCGUCGGCCGUUAGGGCGCAUCCUCUUUGUCGUCUGCUCCCCGGCGGCACAGAGGAGAAAACCAGAUGGCAAAGAGAGGGGGUGCAGGGUGGGCCGCCCGUGCUCUUUGCCGUCGGCCUAAAUGCUCUUUGUCCUAAGCUAGCGAAAGACAAGGAGUUGGCUGAUGGCAAAUAGUAUAUUUGCCAUCAGCCAGCUCUUUGUCGUCUAGUUUUUGGUAGCUGAUGGCAAAGAGGGUCUUUUCCAUCAGCCAGCAGACGACGAAGAAGGAGCAGAUGGCCAAAUCUCUGAUUCCAGUAGUGUCCUCCUCCUCCUCCUUCUUCUUCUNNNUCUUCUUAUUCUUCCUCUUCCUCUUCUUAUUCUUCCUCUUCUUCUUCUUCUUCUUCUUCCUCUACUUCUUCCUCUUUCUCUUCUUCUUCUUCUNNNNNNNNNNCUUCUUCUUCUUCUUCCUCUUCCUCUUCUUCUUCUUCUUCUUCCUCUUCUUCUUCUUCUUGUUCUUCUUCUCCCUAUUCUUCUUCUCCCUCUUCUUCUUCUCCUUCUCCUACUUCUUCUUCUUCUNNNNNNNNNNNNUCUCCUUCUUCUUCUUAUUCUUCUUCUUUUUCUUGUUCUUGUUCUUCUUGUUCUUGUUCUUGUUCUUCUUCUUCUUCCUCCUCCUCCUCCUCAUCUUCUUCUUCUUCUCCUCCUCCUCCUUCUUCCAAUUCUUCAUCUUCUUCUUCUUCUNCUUCUUCUUAUUCUUAUUAUUAUUAUUAUUCUUNNNNNNNNNNNNNNNNNNNNNNNNNNNNNNNNNNNNNNNNNNNNNNNNNNNNNNNNNNNNNNNNNNNNNNNNNNNNNNNNNNNNNNNNNNNNNNNNNNNNAGAAGAAGAAGGAGGAGGAGGAGAAGAAGAAGAGGAGAAGGAGAAGGUGUCCUCCUCCUUCUUCUCCUUCUUCUUCUCUCCUCCUUCUUCUUCUNNNNNUUCUUCUCUUCUUCUUUUAUUCUUCUUUUCUUCUUCUUCUGCUCCUCCUUCUCCUUAUCCUUCUUCUUUUUCUNNNNNNNNNNNNNNNNNNNNNNNNNNNNNNNNNNNNNNNNNNNNNNNNNNNNNNNNNNNNNNNNNNNNNNNNNNNNNNNNNNNNNNNNNNNNNNNNNNNNNNNNNNNNNNNNNNNNNNNNNNNNNNNNNNNNNNNNNNNNNNNNNNNNNNNNNNNNNNNNNNNNNNNNNNNNNNNNNNNNNNNNNNNNNNNNNNNNNNNNNNNNNNNNNNNNNNNNNNNNNNNNNNNNNNNNNNNNNNNNNNNNNNNNNNNNNNNNNNNNNNNNNNNNNNNNNNNNNNNNNNNNNNNNNNNNNNNNNNNNNNNNNNNNNNNNNNNNNNNNNNNNNNNNNNNNNNNNNNNNNNNNNNNNNNNNNNNNNNNNNNNNNNNNNAAGAACCUUGGUUAGCACAUUAAUAUUAUAUACUUAGCUUGUUUGCCUCUAGAAUGACAUAAUUAGCCCAUUAAGCUCCAAAAAUACACUUAGCUAAUUUAGCUCCAAGAAGAGGAGAAGAGGAGAAAUGAAAAGAAUGAAGAAGAAGAAGAAGAGAAGAAGGAGAAGAACAAGAAGGAGGAGGAGAAGAAGAAGAGAAGAAGGAGAAGNNNNNNNNNNNNNNNNNNNNNNNNNNNNNNNNNNNNNNNNNNNNNNNNNNNNNNNNNNNNNNNNNNNNNNNNNNNNNNNNNNNNNNNNNNNNNNNNNNNNNNNNNNNNNNNNNNNNNNNNNNNNNNNNNNNNNNNNNNNNNNNNNNNNNNNNNNNNNNNNNNNNNNNNNNNNNNNNNNAGAAGGAGCCCUCCUUCUUUUUCUCCUUCUUCUUCCCUCCUCCUUCUUCUCGUUCUUCUUCUCUUCUUUUCUUUUUCUUCUUUUCUUCUUCUUCUCCUCCUCCUUCACCUUCUCCUUCUUCUUUGUCUUCGCCUUAUUCUCUACUUGCUNNNNNNNNNNNNNNNNNNNNNNNNNNNNNNNNNNNNNNNNNNNNNNNNNNNNNNNNNNNNNNNNNNNNNNNNNNNNNNNNNNNNNNNNNNNNNNNNNNNNGCAUGCAAGCUUUGCCAUGGAGUUUUGGAUGAAUUCAUUAUUUGGUUUUUCUCUCUUGUCUUCGUUAGUGUUACGGAUUGUUUUAUUAUUAUUAUUUUUACUUGCUGUUAUGUUUAUGUUGUGCUUAUUGUGUGAAUUGUUUGUCUCGUUAGAUCAUCCGGAGUGCGAGGCUUGCUAUUUAGAGUCACUAGAGUUUGAAGACCGUCAGCAAGGCAAGUUCACAUUGAUCAUGUAUUACCUAUGGUUUUUAUUGCAUUAGUUCAACUUGUUCCACCAUUGCAUGCAAAUUAGGUAAAUUGGAAACUUGGUUCUUGAGUAGUAUCAUAUGGUAGGCACCCCAGAAAUGCUUGUCACUUUGGCCCCGGGAAACAUUAUUUUGUUUUCCUAUGCUUUUAGUAGACGGGGUUUGGUUGAGUGUUUAUCAUGAGAGUUGUGAGACUUAAUUAAUGACCAAGACCUCAAGACUUCAAGCUUUUUCAAGAUCUCAUGAUGCAAUAUACCACUGGGUGGAAACUGGGUGAACGGCACCAUGGAGUACCGAGCGGUAGCCUAGGUGUUGCUGGAGAAGUGCCAGUAUUCAUGCGGAAAGUUCCACCCAGGCACGUAGAGAUGGAUGGAUACUUCAAGACCCGAGGCUUACCAGCAUAACCACAAGCCAUUAUGGGCUCUGGCUUGGUUGGACAUCGUGGCGACUUUGGACGGGCGGUGCUACGAGAUGUAGAAGAACGGUAGGAGUGGAUGGGCACCGACAGUGGCUCAGAGGAACCCGUUGGAAGACCAUGUUUUGAUGAUCCGGUUCUCAAACACCCUGCAGUGCGAGGACUUCAAUGGAGGUGAUCCAAUCUUGUGGGGAAAGUGUGCAGAACUCUGCAGAGUACCAAACCUAAUCGAUUAGCCAUGUCCAUAGUUACAGACAACUUGAGCCAAAAGAAAUGAAACUAUCAAUAAUUCUCGACACAAAUAAAUUUAAUGAUGUGGGAAUUAUUAUUUGGGUACGAGAAAUGGUUGGUGGAACCUUCUCAUUAAACAACCAACAUGUAGUAAUUAUUUUCGCUUUUGCCCCCUCUCUUGUUGUAGGAAAAAUUUGCUUUCCUCUAAAACUUACAACCCCACCUGCCAUAUAUGCAUAUAGUAUAGAUGAUAUUUUCACCCCUCUCUUUUGUGACUUGCUAGCAUAUUCAAUUUUUUUAUCUACACGGAUUCAACGUGUCAUGUUGUAGAGUACUUUUCCAAUCAGGAGUGAGGACACGAUCUACGCUCGGUGAUAUGCCCUUGGAGUCAGAUGGACCCUACUAUCUUUGAAGCUUCCGCUAGUUUUUGAUAAGUUUUAUCUCACGAGUUGGCCUUCAGCCACUUUAUUGUAAUCUUUAUUGUAAUAAAGGACUUGAUAUGAGAUAUCGAUUAAUAAAGCAGUGUGAUUGAACUCUCGAUAUAUACAUUGAUGUACUGUGUGUGUACCAGCAUGAUCUUGGGAUGGUACAGUAACAUCAGAGACUUGACUAUUUUAGGUCGGGUCGCUACAAGUCUGGUGUAAAUGGGUCUACAAUAUAAAGUAUGCCUCUAAUGGGAAUACAGAAAAGUAUAAAGCACAACUUGCGGCAAAAGGAUUUACAUAAAGAGAAGGGAUAGAUUACAAUGAGACAUUUUCCCCAGUCUCAUGUAAGGAUUCCUUCAGAAUCAGAAUGAAAUUAGUUGCACAUUUUGAUUUAGAGUUACAUCAAAUGGAUGUAAAGACGACAUUUCUUAAUGCGGAUUUACAAGAAAAUGUCCACAUGAGACAUACCAAGGGUUUUAUCAUGGAAGGCAAGGAACAUAUGGGAUGUUGCAUGAAGAAAUCCAUUUAUGGACUAAGACAAGCCUCUAGACAGUGGUGUCUAAAGUUCAAUGGGACAACUAAAAGAUUUGGAUUUAAAUAGAAUAUUGAGGAUACGUGUGUUUAUGCAAAGUUGAAAAAUGGAAAAUAUAUUUUCCUAAUCUUGUAUGUGGAUGAUAUCUUGCUUGCUAGCACUGAUGUUAGUCUGCUACAAGAAACAAAGAAGUUUUUGUCCUGAAAUUUUCAUAUAAAAGAUCUUGGUGAAGCAUCAUAUGUUUUGGGCAUUGAAAUUCACCAAGAUAGGAAAAAUGGAGUUUUAGGACUAUCACAGAAAGCAUAUUUAGAGAAGGUUCUCAAAAAGUAUAAUAUGCAUGCGAGUAAGGCCACACCUGCUCCUAUAGUCAACGGCGACAGUUUUGGGAAAUUCCAAUAUCUCAUGAACUAGUACGAGCUCGAUCAAAUGAAAGGAGUGCCAUAUACUUCAGAUGUUGGAAGUUUAGAGUAUGCACAAGUGUGCACUCGCCCUGACUUAGCUUUUAUCACCAUUAUACUCGGUAGUUAUCAAGAGAAUCUAGGCACACAACACUGGAAGAUGGUAAAUAAAGCACUGGAAGAUGCUAACAUAGAAAAGAUCUGAUUCCCAAGAGAUAAAAGGGUAUUCAGACGAAAAUUUUGCGGAAGACAAAGAUGAUAGAAGAUCCACGUCAGGAUACGUGUUCACUCUCACUGGAGGGGUUAUUUUGUGGAAAACAUCCAAACAGUCCAUAAUUGCAUCGUCAAUGAUGCAAGCAGUGUUCAUAGCAUGUUUUGAGGCCACGAGGCAGGUGAUAUGGUUCAAGAAAUUUAUACCCGACUUGAAAGUGGUAGAUUCUAUUUACAAACCACUAAAUAUGUACUAUGACAACCAGCCUGCAGUAUUCUAUGCUCACAACAACAAGUCAAGUAAUGCUACCAAAACAGUAGAUAUAAAGUAUUAUGUUGUGAAAGAUAAAAUCUAGGAUCACACUAUAAGUCUCGAGCAUAUAAGGACAAAGAAUAUACUUGCAGAUAUGCUAACGAAAGGCUUACCACCCAAUGUGUUCAAGGAACACUUAGCCGACAUGAGUUUAAGGGAAAGCCUAUGAUUCCUGAAUCAUGAUAGGCCCAAAAAGAAAAGAAUUUGUUUUGAAAGAGAGAGUUAUGUUGUAGCUGUCUGAUUCUAUCGGCAGUUGAGCUGUGACGAUGAAACAUGCUCUAUGUACUAAUAGUUGAUGAAACAAGUAAAGUAUAAAGUUAAAAAGUAAAGUUGAGAUCAAGGGGGAGAAUGUGAGGUUGAUCUCUUCCCGUGUGGGCCCAUCGACCCACUAGACCCUUGACUCGCUCCCUUAUCAGGGGCGUCCAACCAAAGUAUGGUUGGUGGCCCCGUGUCGCCGCGCUAUAUAACGAGGAGGGGUGCCGGAUGCACACGGUACGAGGUUCACCGUGCGCUGCAGCCCCCACCAACAAUCCCUACCGAUCUAGGGUUAGCGUAGGCCGACGGGAAGCACCACCGCUGCCACCACUUCGCCCACUCUCUGUCAUCACCACUGUCGCCAUCAACCAUGGCGUCAGGCUCAGGAUCCUCGAGCCAAGGAGAUGGUAUAACCCAUCUCCUACUCUCUACUACCACAUACCUUCAACCCAUCUGAUCCAAAGGAUCUAUCAGCUGGAUGUCUUCGACCGCCGGUGGGACGGCACGGGAACGUAAGGCAUCGACCCCGUCACUAAGCCGCUAGGCUCUGGGGCGGCAAGGGUGGCAUUAGCCUUAGGAGAACACCGAAUCCCCGGUAGAGCAUCCAUGGGGAGCUCCGGAAAUUGGUUGGCGCUAGCUGUCGAGGGCAGGCGUGGAGUGGAAACAGAAGCGGUGGUGGAGGAGCUCGAGGUUGGCGAAGCCUCUUUAAGGAGACGAACUAAGCAAGCAUGCUCGACAUGCCCCACGCGCUUGCAGGUGUUGCAUAUUUGAGGGUCUGUGCACUCGAACAACUUAUCCCACGGGGUGAGGCAUCCAUACCAGCAGUUCCCAAAUCGUAUCUUGAAUGACAUGGACGCAGUGCGCACAUGUCUCUCAUGUCGCCUCUGUAUCGUAUCCCUUGGAGGCUAUGGUGGGUGAUUUGACUCGCGCCCCGCCACACGCUGAGCACACCGAGAUGUGGCCGUCGUCCAUGGAAUGCCCUCUUGAUCUCUCGCACAGGCCGGGGCACUCGAAGUAGCAGCAUGGUGAAUCACGGUGUCCGGAUCCGCUAGAUUACACUAGUAGAGAAAAACUUAUACAUGAAGGCUUAUGAGUAGCACGCCUUUGUUCAGGGCUACUUUUACUUCGUACUAGCGGUUGGUAAACACAAGCGCUACAAGUAGUUCUGUAGUAGCAGCGCGGGGAGGCAUGCCGAUGCUACUGCUAAGGGGUCCUAUGUUCAUCCACCGGGGCUAACCCUAGCACUAGCGCCGAGCCACCGACACGCGCUACUGCUAUGGUUCAUAACUGUAGCGCCGUGUCAUAACCCGCACUACUACUAGUGUCACCUUAUCCACACCCCUGCAUGCCCGUUCCCAUUUCUCUUACCCCCCUCUCACACUCUUACUCCCGUCGCCGCUGUCAACGCCCUCGCCCACCGCACCACCAUCACUCCCAAGGUAUCUCCCUCCCUCCUCCUCCUGCUGCCACCCUCACCCACCACAUCCACCGUCACUCCCUAGGUAUCUCCCUCCCUCCUUCUCUUACCGCCCUCCGCUCUCCUCCCUUCUCUCUACCUUCUCCUUCUUCCCACAACCCUCCUCGCCCCCUCCUCUGAUGAGCCUCCUCCCUCAUCUCUCCUCCUCCGACCGCCCUCCUCCCUCCUAUUCUUUAGUAAAAAAAUAUAUUGGACAUGUGUUGGACAGAAAAUACCUUUAUAGAAAUAUGCAAAUAUUGGACAUGUAGAUGUAGUAGUAUAGUAUAUGUAGUAGUAGAUGUAGAUGUAGUAGUAAUUUCUAGUUUCUAGUUUCUAGUUUCUAGUUUAUCUAAUUAGUUUAUAGUUUCUAAUUUACUCAAUUAGUUAAAAAAUAGUUGGUAGAAAAAUGUAUUCAACACUUUAAUUUAACUAGUAGUAGAAUAUGAUGUAAUUUUAAACGAUGAUGGUCCUAAUUGUCUUUUAGAAUGGUUUGAACAUGUGAAGAAAUGAAAAUGAAAAUGAAAUUAAAACCUCUGGGUGGCCUAUGUUUUCCUGAAAUGUUGAUUCGUUUACGUUCCGGUAAAUUUCAGAUGCUCGAAAUGUUCUGUUUUUAGAAAAGGUUAUGUCGAAAUUUUGUGAGAAUAUGAAUUAGAUGUCAUUUUGGCAAAAUAUAGGCCACCUAGAGGUUUCAUUUUCAUUUUCAUUUUCUCAUUUUCAUUAUCAUUUUCACAUUUUCAUUAUCAUUUUCCACUCGGAUGAGUAAUGGUUGUAGGGUUGACUUUUACUCUGUCGAAGCUCCUUAUCGGAGGAAGAAUCCCGACUAUUGUCGUGGGGGCCGCUUCCUCCUUCGUUCCUGUGUGCUAGAAAUUUUGGUAAUGCAUGCGAGAACAAAGGGAGGAGCGGUCAUCACCGAUGGUCGAAAUAAUGGUGUGAGGUUGUGUCCACCAACAUACACAAACAUAUCGGUGUGAGAGAGUGUGCACCAUAUACACCAUGAGACAUUAGAGUUUUAUAGGAAGCCUCGACAAACCGAAACUCAACCAAUGCUGAUUUUUCAUAUACACCACCAUAUCAGUGUGAGAGAGUGUGCACCAAUAGUUGUCGUCGAUUUUCAAUCUUUGAAUCAUGAAUACAGGAGAUGACGUCUGACAACGAGGGGAUCCCUCAGUGUGAUUAUUGUAGUGAAGAUCGAGGUCUGUGCGAUAUGCCUCACGUGUGAAACGGCAGGUUCUUCACCAUAAAGCUUGAUGAGACCUUUGAUGUUUUUAUGAUACACAAUGAUGACACUAUUUUUUCUUCUUUGCGUCAUGUUUCUUUGCUUCAACGUGUAAUUUCUGUUUUUACAAUUCAACUAGUGCAUCCCUUGUCCUGCAAGACGGUAUGUCUUGGAGAAGCUUGGUUUUCAAGAAAUGGAGAAUAUGAAGAUGAGGAGAGCUCACGUGAGGACUAAACAUAGUUUCACAUUUCUGUUUAAAUUAUACAAUGUACUUAAUCACUCACAUUUUGGUUGCUCAAAUUGGGAAGCUCUAGGCAAGGCAUAUGGAUUUUACGAGGAUACGAAAAUAACCUUUGAUGUUCGUCCUGAAUAUGGUAUUGAAGGUAAUAUCGAUAUUUGGGUGGAUGUCAAUAUGCUUCCAAUUUUACCUCUAUGUGAGUUUGACAACCAUAUUUGUUAACUAAUUUGCAUUGUUUAUUUAGAAAUAUUUGAUGUUCAUCCCUACUUAACUUACUCAAUUUUAAUUGACAACUUAUUUUUCUUCUUAAAAAAAACUCAAAAGACAAUAGACAUGAUCUACUACAGUCGUGGCUCCAAUCUAACUUGGUUGGAGAAAAAUCAUUUCAUAUCAUUUGUUAAUGAUGUUGAUGAUUGUAAGAACAAACAUGAAGAUAUUGGCGAAAGUUAUUCUAAAUACGUGCCAUUAGUGCGCGACUUGAACCCUAAUAAUUUCCAUUUAGAUAGCAUGGUAAGAUUAUUUUUUCCUAUUGUGUCAUUUAAUUAGUCCAUCUUUUGCAUACAUAAUUUUUUCUUAAGCAAAACUAGAUUGCGAACUAUGUUAUUAUUAUAUUCUUCAACAUAUAUACUCACCAGAGGUUGUGCGUGAACUGAUGACUAUAGAAGGUCGUCAUUUGAAUGUUAUCAGGUUACGACCACGAUGUACUAUAUGUUUUCUCUAUGCAUACUCACUUUCUAGAAGGGAUGGAAGCCUGAAACUUAAAGGAUUUGACAAUUUAAUGAAAACCCGUCGGCAACUACUUGACGGAGACGCGAAGGAUUUGUGCAUGCCACAUGUUGGAGACAGGUGGAUCUUUAUUUAAUUAAAAGCUUACUUUUUAUGCUAUUUUAUCUAGUAAAGAAUAGUAAGUUCUACCUGGGAGAGAAUAAUAUGUUCUAUCUAAGAUAGAUGACUUUUUUUGUUUAUGACAUUAUGUACUAAUGAUUAGAUGAUCAAGAUGAAGAUAAAUUGUUAGAUGAUUAAGAUGACGAUCAAGAUGAUGAUAAGUUGUUAGAUGAUUGAAAGGAUGAUAAGUUCUUAGAUGAUUAAGAGGAUGCUGAGUUAUUAAAUGAUUAAUAGGAUGAUAAGUUAUAUGACAUAAAUUAAAUUAAAUUGGAUGGAUGCAAGUGAUAAAGUUGAAUUAGAGGAAAAUAUGAUGUUGUGNNNNNNNNNNNNNNNNNNNNNNNNNNNNNNNNNNNNNNNNNNNNNNNNNNNNNNNNNNNNNNNNNNNNNNNNNNNNNNNNNNNNNNNNNNNNNNNNNNNNNNNNNNNNNNNNNNNNNNNNNNNNNNNNNNNNNNNNNNNNNNNNNNNNNNNNNNNNNNNNNNNNNNNNNNNNNNNNNNNNNNNNNNNNNNCACAACAUCAUAUUUUCCCUUUAUAACCCAACUUGAUCACUUGCACCCUACCUUUUGCCCCCUAAGCUCCAUAGUUGUUCCAAGAUCCAUUUUAGCUCGAUCUCUCUCCCUAGCCAAGAAAACUUGUUGAUAUUCUAGUGUUUGGUUGAUAGGGCCUUGAUCUACACUUCCACCAAGAGAAAUGUGACCCCCCCCCCACGAAUCCCUUGCGGAUCUUGUUACUCUUGGGUGUUUGAGCACCCUAGACAGUUGAGGUCACCUCAAUGCCAUAUUCCACUGUGGUGAAGCCUCAUGGUCUGGUUGGGAGCCUCCAAUUAAGUUGUGGAGAUUGCCCCAACCUUUUUUUGUAAUGGUUCGAUCGCCGCCUUCAAGGGCACCACUUAGUGGAAUCACGACACCUUGCAUUAUGUGAGGGCGUGAGGAGAAUACGGUGGCCUUAGUGGCAUCUUGGGGAGCAUUGUGCCUCCACACUGCUUCAAUGGAUACAUACUUCCCCUCAAAGGGAAGGAACUUCGGAAACACAUCCUCGUCUUCAUCGGUUCCACUUUUGGUUAAUUAUUACCUUUAUUUGUAUUUACUUCUUGCUUAUUAUUGUUGUUGUUACAAUCAUAUAGGUUGCUCACGCAGAUGCAUAUCUAGACAAGCUAUUUGUUGCUAAACCUAAUUUUUUAAAUAAAAUUUUAAAAUUUGUUAGUUGCCUAUUCACCCGCCUCUAGUCAACCAUAUCGAUCCUUUCAAUUGUAUUAGAGCUUCGUCUCUUUAUUAAGGGUUUCAAAAACCCAAAUAGUAUGGUUGACGACGGGGACCGGGUCGGGGAGGUGCGCGAGGGAGCUGCGGCAAACUAGGUCACUCGAGAGGAACUAAAUGAGGUUAUGUCCACAUUUAAAUCCUCAGUGGCUAUCAAAGUCAAGAACACGCUUAAGGAUUUCAUUGAUAUUUAUAAACCGCAUACCGACCCAUUGUUGGUGGCUAAUACCACAACCUCAAAUACGGGGAUCAAUUCCGAAAAGGAAAAUGCUAGUAGUGAAAACGAUAAAACGUCUCAAGGAACUAUUUGGGCAAAUGCCUUUGCCUCGGUUCCUUCUCCCAUGGCCUAUAAAGGACCGGUCCACCCACCACAUAUUAUUAAUCUUGGUCCUCCACCAAAGCUUCUUAAGAAUGAUUUUGCUAACUGGGUUUUUUGUAUCAAGUAUCAUUCGAACCAGAGCUCAACACAACUUUGGAGAAACAUUGAGCAGGGUACUACUCACAUGUUCCAAGAAACCUCAUGCCAAAAGAAGAGUCCGACAAUCAGCUCAAUCACUCCGCCUUGUUCAUUCUUCAAGCAGCUGCACCUGUUGAAGACCUUCCUCACUUGCGUCUCGUCACUCGUGCCAAAGAUUGUUGGGAUCACAUCAUCUACAUGUACAAGGGAAGCUCUAGCAUUCAACGGUUCAACUAUGAAGUGGUUCUUGAUGAGGACGAUGAAUUUCCUAUGGUCGAGGAUGAGCACCCUCGUGAACUAUAUCAAAGAGUUACAACUCUUGUUGCUGGUCCUUAGGAUCAUAGAAGCAAAUAUGUGGAUGAAACUUGGAUUAAGCGUAAGUUUCUCAAGGCCAUCAUGCCUUUCAACAAGUCCAUGUCCUCUGUCAUCUGUCAAAGGACGGACUUUCAUUUCCUGUCCUCAAGUGAUGAGUUGGAUUAGUUUAUCGCCAUGAAUAUUUUGAAAAGACCGCUGACAAUGCUCUAGGCUGAGUUCAGUGGUCAAGAAAAGACUACCCCAAACUUGCUUUGAAGGCCAAGUCUGCUUUGGAGGAAGAUGAGGAAGACGAAGAAGAAACUUGUCCUCAAGACACCAAGUAUGCUUACCAUGAGCACAUGACUCUUGCAUCAAGGCAGAUUUGGGGAAACAUGAAAAACUCAAGGCCCAACUUCUCCAAGAACAACUCAAAUGGGUCCAAGGGAAAGCAACACGUGAGAAGUUGCUACAUUUUGGCAAUGUGAGUCACUUUCUAGUAGAUUGUCCCUAUGAGCAGAGGGAAGACAAUGGUGGCAAGCUCGUUUGUAAAGACAAGACCAAGUCCUUCCCAAAUAAGAACAACUUCCCCAAGAAGAUGCCCCAAAAGGUGUUGGUGGCUCACGAAGAGUAUCUGUCCGAUGAGGAUGAUGAUAAUGAGACAAGUGGUGAAGCGAUGGGAAUGGCCAUGGUGGCCAUUGCAUCCCCUUCUACAAGCUAGGUCUCUCUCUUCAAGGCCCCCAAUGAGAACCGCAUUGCCAAGUGGCUCAGGGCGAAGGAAUCCAACAAGAUAACCUCUAACACUCAAACUACCAACAUCAAAGCUACCAUUUUCUCUACCAUGGAUAACAGAGAUGAAAAAGAAGAGGUAGAGGUGGAGGAAAACUCCUUUGAUAAAUUAAUGGGAAAACUCAUGGAUAAAUCCAAGAAGCAUUUUGUUGAUCUCUUGGAACAACUCAGAGAGGAUAAUGCCCUCACUGAAUCUCAUGAAGAAACUAUCUCUACAUUACAUGGUCAUAGUCGUGACUAUGCCGAUGAGAUUGCGGAUCUUUCUAUUUCUCUUGAAGAAGAGCAAGGACUUCGUCUAACUCUUUAGGAGUCACAUAACGAUGACCUUGCUAAGUGAAAGAAAGAUCUUGAUCGUGCUCUUGUUCUUACCCGUGUGCUUCAAUCCGAAAAGAGUGCACUUGGCCUUUAUCAUGUCACACUAAAGAGCUUACAACACUUGACAAGGCUCACAAGGCCUUGAAGAGUGUUCAUGUCUCUUUAAAAGAGUCUUGUGCUCAACUCCAAAUAAAACUCACUAAGGAAAUAUCCACUUGCUCUCCAUUUGUUUUAAUUAAUAAUGUCCAUGCUACUAACCCCUAUUGUGAGCAUGCACAUCUUGUGGAGGAGAACUCCAAAUUAAAAGAGGAGCUUGAGAAAGGCUUUGUGGCAUGCAUCCAAGGUGAAAACAAUAUUAAUGGCCUUUUGAGUAGUCAAAACGAAGUGGUUGCAAAGGAAGGAGUUGGGUUUGCACCCAAGUCCAAGAAUAACAACAACAAGAAGAAGACCAAGAAACCUCCCCAGCUUAUGGAAACCUUUUUUAAAUCUGGGGAGGGUACUCAUGAGGAGAAAAAGGACCAAGCUAAGGGUGGUAAUGCCAUGAAGGGCAAUACCCUGUGCCUAACACAGCUGGCGACUUUAACCCCUCUUAUGUUUUGUGUCAUGCUAGUGAUGGGAAUGUUUUUGCUAAGUUUGUUGGUUCUUAUGAACAGUACAUUGAAUGGUCUAUUUGGUUUCCUAAGACCCUUGUUACUAACCUGAGAGAACCCAUUAAAGAAUGGGUACCUAGAUCCAAGCGUUGAUCUUAUACAUGAGUUUGCUUCUGGUGGGGUGUCCUAGUUGCUUGAUAGUGGGGCAACAAAUCAUAUGACAGGAAGCAAGGACUUGGUGGUGAACGUUCAUCCCGACCCAUCCAUUGCCACCCAAGUCUCCUUUGGUGAUGAUGCGAUUUCAAAGGUAUUGGGUCUUGGCAAGGUCGUAAUUUCUAUGGAACUUACCAUUGAAAAGGUUAUGCUUGUUGAGACCCUCGCGUACAAUUUAUAUCCAUUCAUCAACUUGCACUUAUGGGUUUUAGUACCUUAUUUGGCACUGACUGUGUGGCCCUUUUGUGGAGCAAGACUCUUAAAGCAUCCUUUGUUGGGCAUGUCGAGAAUGGUCUCUAUAUGGUUAACUUUUCGGAGCGACCCACGAAGAGCGCGACUUACCUAAUGGCUAAAGUUGAUGUGGGAUGGAUUUGUCAUUGCCGGAUAGCUCAUGCCAAUAUGAGAUAUUUGCAAAGUCUCCUCAAAGGGGAUCACACUCUUGGACUAACAAAUGUGAGUUUUGCGAGAGAUCAUGCUUGAAGUAUGUGUAUUGAAGGAAAGAUUCAUGAGACAGCUCACCGCCUCAUGACUACCAUCUACUCAAAAAGGACCUUGGAGCUCCUCCACAUGGAUCUCUUUGGUCCUCCAUCCUAUGCUAGUAUUGGGGGAAGAAAGUAUUGCUUGGUGAUAGUGGAUGAUUACUCGAGAUAUACCUGAGUACAUUUUUUCAAGAGAAAGAGUGAGACUCAACAAACCGUCAUCCACUUUGCUAAUGAAGCUCAACGCCAACAUAAUGCAAAGAUAUUGAGGAUCAGAAGUGACAAUGGCAUCGAGUUCAAGAAUUUCACCCUUAAUGAAUUUCUAAGUGAUGAAGGAAUCAAGCAUCAAUACUCUGGACCUUACACUCCUCAAAAAAAUGGUGUGGCAGAAAGGAAGAACCGGAUGUUGAUGGAUGCAGCAAGUACCAUGAUGGCGGAGUUUAAAUCUCCGUAUAACUUUUGGGCCGAAGCCAUCAACACCGCAUGCCAUGGAUCCAAUCAGCUCUACCUUCGUAAAGGCUUGAACAAGACUCCAUAUGAAAUUCGUACCUGAAAUAGGCCCAACCUCAAGUACUUCCGGUUGUUUGGCUGUAAGUGUUUCAUUCUUAAGAAAGGUGCUUGAUUGUCUAAAUUUGAAUCUAGAGCUCAAGAGGGCAUAUUUGUUGGUUAUGCUACAAAUUCCUGCGCUUACCGUGUCCUCAACAAGUCCCCAGGACUCAUUGAGAAGACAUGUAACAUGGAGUUUGAUGAGAAUAAUGGCUCCCAAGUGGAGCAAAGUGGUCUUUGUGAUGUAGGUGAUGAAAUUCUUCCUCAAGCCUUAAGAAGAAUGGGCGUGCGACACUUCCUCCCUGUUGAGGAACCCCUUGUGGCUGAAGGAGAAGGACAAUGUUCGACUCAUGUGGAACCAUCACUAGCGCAACAAGACCCAUAGCUUCUGAAGAACACUCUGAAGGCCCUCAACACUGUGAUCUUGAUCAAGGAGAAGAUCAAGCUCAUGAUGGUUUUGCUCCAAGCGAUGUCCUUGAUCAAGCUCACCCCUCUGAGGUUCCUUAAGAUCAAGAUCAAGCUCAAGAUCAAUACCUAGUCCAAGAUCAAGAGCAAGCUCAAGAACAAAACCCAGCUCAAGAUCAAGGGCAAACUCGCAAAGGCGGUAAAGGCCUCAAACAGGUCCAUUAGCUUACCCCUAAGGAAAUUCAAGGAAGACAUGCGGCCAAGAAUGCCAAGACACUCAAAAAUAAUUCCGAUAUCUUGGAAAAUGUCUACGACAACUUACAGAGGGGUAAACACUCAUCGUCAAUUAUGAAACUUUAGUGCCCAUCAUUCGUUCGUUUCUUGUAUAGAACCACUAAAGGUGCAAGAGGCUCUCGAAGACAUGGAUAGAAUAGGGGGUCCGUCCAACCAGACAUCGCCGAAACCUCCAUCUUUUACUUAAGCUGAGUCCACAGAAGAGGUUCCAUUGCAAAGCGAGAUCCAAGGGUUCGGGUACUAUGAGCAUCACAGCCUCAGGAUUCGCUCGGUGGAUCACCUGCGAGAUGUUAUUUUGUUGGAUUGGGCCACUACGGAGAUGAACUUGUCUGAAAAUCAAGCUCGACAAUGCCUAUUUCCCAAGAGCGAAUGUGAUUCUGCAGGAUUUUUAUAUAGGCGAAAAGGAAUGACAUUCAUUAUGAGGGACCAGGUUAUAGAGCUUUUUAGUAAGGGCAUGAGAACCUGUGAAUAGAGGAACACGAUACGGAUACGCAAUGGUGACUGCAGAAGCUCUUUCGACUGAAAUCCACCCUCACCAGUCGUCUCCUCCCCUUCAUAUGUGCUCGUGCUCCCUAGAAUAAUGGCUUGCAAGCUCCAAACGGGAAGUCAAUGAGGUAAUAGGGAAAAGGAACCGCCUACUUGCCACGAAUAAUGCAUCUCUUUUUGCCACUCUUGAUAGAUCUUAUACAAGAUGCCGACUCAUCCCCUUGCUUAGACAUGUCGAAGCCACUCCUCAUACCGGUAGUUCAGCUCUUGUUAUUCUUUCUAGAUCCGUGCAAGCGAAGCGGUUUGAUCAAUGAAAAGAAAACAUCGUGAUAUUGUGAUGCUUGGGUCCCCUCCCCACUAUAGGCACUGUCCCCGCCCUUGUUGCGUCUCAGGAUCCGCUAUCAGCAGAACUUGUCAAUCCGAUGCUGAAUGCACCCAUAUUCCAGAGGGUCAGUAGCUUGCUAUUGUCCGCCACUGAAACCCAUUAUUAUUCAAAGAUGAAUCAAUUGAUGGUGUGCCCGGAAGCGACAACAGAUAGACGGAGGAAGGCGCUUGCGACAUAGGUGGUAGUGAGUGGGAAGUGCUGCUAUGUUCAGCCAUGCUUUCCCCUCUUGACCCAGAGCCUCCAUGUGUAACCUCCGAUCGAAAUGAAAUCACAAUAGUUCUUCAACAUUUAGACAAUGAUAUAGCUAGUGGCAAAGUAAAGGAAAAUCGCAUUGCUUAGGGCUCGAGAUGGAUAAGAUAGGCAGUCGCACCGUUACUCAUACAAGGCUAUGGCUCCACUCAUGUUUGUUGAUCCAGUUGCCCAUUUCACCCAGAAAACUUCCAUAUUCCACUUUAUUUUUAGAUAGAAAAGAAUUCGAACCAAUGAAUUCAUUCCAGAGAAGCAUUCCUGUAAGUUUAGUGCUCCUCCCCAGCACCAGUAUCCCAUCGAUUGGAUACCCUGAGAGCACUCUGCACUGAUUGAGAGUAUGAGUAUAGGUGUUUUGAAAGUCGAGAGGAAACUGUCAAGAACCUGACAGUAGCGCUUGCUAAUCACAGUUCUGGAUCCGGGGCAAGCAUGGGACUGUCUGAAACAUAGGCAGAAUUGGCUGUUUUUCUCCAAUUUUAAGCAACUGCUACGCUAAAAAUAAUAAGAUGGUUCUAGGGGCAGCCUCGCCUAAUAACUCAUAAUAUAAAUGCGCUUAUGUCUGCGUCAAGGCCAUAGAAGCAGCAGUAUCGAAGUCGUCUAGUCUCUGAAUUAAAACAACAGCUCGAAUUUGCCUACUAAGUAAGACCUUCACCUCAAUAAAUAUAGUAGUUAAGGUAGUGAAGAAUGUAGGACCCAAAUCUGGCCUAUAAGCUAACAUGUGGUGCAUUGCAGCUUCCUCCACAAACGUUGGAUUACUUAAUGCACAAUGGCAAAACGGGAUGAAGAAUGUGCAAAUCUGGGGGACAUAAUAGGGGCUUUGUUUCAUCAUAGGGGUGAUCCAGAGAGCACCAGUCUAAGCCUACUGUUCUAAAUAAAUCUAUCUUGCAACGUUCAUUCAAUUUUGGAUCAUGUCAACGAGCAUUCGCCUCAGCUAUGGUACCAAAUCUGCUAUCGUUUCUGAGAAGUUUCAUUCCAGUCCCCGAUCGAAUCCAAUUGAGUGACUCCUGAAGCCAACCAACUCUUUUUCGAUAUUGUGAAUUCCUUAACUUUUUACUGGCUUGCUUGUUUGUAAGCUCCACGGGCGUGCCAAUUCCUUAGUGGGAUCCAACCACCAUUUACUUUCAUUCGAUCCAGCGGAGAAGAUGCGAUUAUGUAUCAUUUCGCCUAAGGCCAGACAGACUAAAAGGGGCUUUUGGAUACUAAGAAGGUUUUCACGUCUUGCUUUGGGUGGUAUGCUUCCUCACUGUUGCUAUUCUGCCCUUUCCCGGUAGUCAACCACCAACGAACGUAGGCUAGGACCUGCAUGUAAUGUUACAGCCUUGCCAAUACUCUACAGUCGUUACAUCAACAUGGGAUUGCAAAAGGGAGGGAAUUGAAAAAGGCGACUCCUCCUUAGUAGGAAUAGUAGCUGAGGCUGCUUCAACUCAUAACGAAGCUAUUCCAGCACAUAAGUCCGGGAUGAUCUGAGGUCGCUGGUCUCACAUGGAAGAGAUACGAACCUCCGCUGGAUAAACACCUCUUCUGGUAUCGGCUUCUUUUGUUCGUAACGAACAAGCAACGGAUUGGGGAUUGCCAAUAGAAAAAGAUACAACCAACCUUGUCUUUUGGAAACCUGGAUCACCCCCAUUGUAAAGAGAACACGGCACCCCUUUCCGUAGGGGCUCGCAAAGGUAUUAUACUGGAUGUGUGCAGAGAGCUAAUGAAACUCCAUUCCUUUUUAUCUAUACUCAACGAUCUGCUAUAGCUUGCUUUUCCAUAGCCAACGUAUUGACCUGAUUCCCCAGGAAAGAGUUGAUGGCAUCUCAACGCAAGAAGGUAGAGAAGAAUCCCUAGCGCAGAUGUGCCGAGAGCGGGAAAGCCUGUCUUCCCCGAGAAGACAGUCUUCCUCUUAUUUCUUAUAUGAAUAACUGAAAUCAAUCCUCACUUGUAUUAACUUCAUGAGUGAAGAGAUAGAGAAACCCUCAAUACCGGCACUGCUCCUAUCAAAAUCAAAUAAUUGGAUUUGUUUCCCCACUUCCUCCACGGGAUUCGUACAUCGGAUGAGGAUUCCUACAACGGUACAACGGAUCAAUCCAUUCAAAUCAAUGAAACCAUUAGGUACGCCCCGGGAUCUACUCUAUUUUGAGAUUUGCUAAUGCCGAGAGACUAUCGAAAGCAAAGCGAAGGUUGUUAUUCCAUAGUUGUUGCCGGUAAAGGAACAGCUGAACGGGUAUCUUUUGCAAAGCAAAGGCUUUGGUUGAAUCGUAUUGAGUUCCGGGUAGUAGAGUCCUCGGCUUCGAUUCUUUCCAACAACGGUACGGUUGACUUUCGAACAACGGCCACGGUGUAGGUUCGUACUCGAUUGAUCGGCUUCCUUCCUAUUAGCUUGCCAUGUUUCCCCAAUCUGUUUGCUUUCACCAAUUUAGGUGCCACAAAUGUUUCCUUUUCCAGACAGUUUGCUUUAAGCAGGAAAGCUGGCCUGUGACUUGCCUUGCUUCCGACUCUAAACCGUUCUAAACAGAUUCUUUCUGCAUACUGAUGUUGGCAGUUAUGCCUAGGUGAUAGAUGUAUGUUGCUGGAUUGGAAAGCUAUACGAUCCCUAUUAUUCAAUUAUGACAGCUGAGAGGAAUUGGGGAUGGCCCCGCUAGAGUUUCCAAAAUGAAUCGAAUUGAACCCUAUUGUUUUUUCACUAAAAAUUCCAUAGUAUCAAUACAAUAACCUUUGAGAAAUUGUGAGAACGGGAAGAUGCAAUCAUCUAGAUGGUGAAAAUAGCCGAGAGUUGAGCAACCCCUAAAAGCACUCACAAUGAAUGGUACCAGCGGAUACCAACCAGAUAGAAACAUGCUGAGAAAUCUCUGUUAUAGCUGAAACUAAUAUACCAAUCCUAUCCGUGACCCUUUCCACAUUCUUUUCUUAGUCACCUAACCUAUGACUGCUUUUUCUUUUAAGCUUUAAUAACCUUAACAUUCGAAUCUGCAUCUGCUAUUUCAGUUCUGUCUAAAGAUACUAUACUAUUCUUUGAUCACUUGAAACAUAGUAGAAAGCAUCUAAAACAGAUAUUUUUGUGGAUUCCCUCUCCUUGUGGGCUGGACUCCUUUUUACAUGGACAGACAGGAAAGUGGAAUCUGAGGAAUUAGCUGGAACAGACUCACCUUAGCUUUGAACGACUAUAUCCCCUCUUCUAUCUACAUAUGGAUAUAUAUGGUCUUUAAUAAAGGAAGAUGAUUUUAGCCGAGGACUAACACAGCUUCCAUUUUGCAGCACAUCUCUCAGUGGGAAUAGCAUCAUCCAUGACUUCAGGCACAGCUAGCUAUGGGUAAGCACAAAAGGUAAUGACGAGAGGGCCGUCCUAUGUACCCUGAAAGAUAAACUAUGUGAUAGAAGCCCGCUUUCCCACUCUUCUAUCCCACCUAUCCACACAGGGUAUCAGUGGCCUCGUGAUCUCCAUGAACAGAGAUCACUACACAAAAACUGCUUAUGUUUCCAAAGUGAAGGGAUUAGGCUUAGAAAGAAGCCCCGCUUUAGUUGAAAAAACAGCUAAAGCAAUUGUUGUCCCCGUCCCCACACCUAUCUCUAUGAAACUUCCUUCAUAGUUAGGAGAGGUUUUUUGUCUCUUUUACCGCAGGAAGUUCUCCAAAAGUAUGAAAGGCGGGAGGGCUUUGUACCAACCAUUCUAGUGUGGUUGGAUUCUGUUCAACAGCCCAAGGACUUUCCGCACAUUUUUUGUUCUUUCCACUGCUUGAAGUGAUUGCGACAACUACGAAGAAACGACGAAUCCCAACUACGGAUAUAUAAGAACCGAAACUGCUCAGAGCAUUCCAUCCGGCGUAAGCAUCUGGAUAAUCUGGAAUACGACGCGGCAUACCCGAAAGCCCUAAGAAAUGCAUGGGAAAGAAGGUCAGAUUAACCCCGAAAAAAGUGAUCCAAAAAUGGAUUUGGCCUAAAGUUUCAGGAUAUGUCCGACCAAAGAUUUUACCCACCCAAUAGUAAAAUCCAGCAAAUAAAGCAAAAACGGCUCCCAUAGAAAGUACAUAAUGGAAAUGUGCAAAAACAUAAUAAGUAUCAUGUAGAGCAAUGUCUAGCCCAGAGUUUGCUAGAACUAUUCCAGUGAGCCCUCCUAUGGUGAACAAAAAGAUGAACCCUACAGCAAAUAACAUGGGUGUUUUGUAUUGUAUCGAACCUCCCCACAUGGUAGCGAUCCAACUAAAGAUUUUGAUUCCUGUGGGCACAGCUAUGAUCAUGGUAGCUGCGGUGAAGUAGGCACGCGUAUCAACGUCUAAGCCCACAGUAAACAUAUGAUGAGCCCAAACUAGAAAUCCAAGAACACCUAUACUUAUCAUGGCAUAAACCAUGCCUAGAUACCCGAAGACCGGUUUUCUUGAAAAGGUCGAUACGAUAUGACUAAUAAUACCAAAUCCAGGCAGAAUGAGAAUAUACACCUCUGGAUGACCGAAGAACCAAAAGAGAUGCUGGUAUAAUAUUGGGUCUCCCCCUCCUGCAGGAUCAAAAAAGGUUGUAUUAAAGUUUCGAUCGGUUAAUAACAUUGUAAUUGCCCCCGCCAGUACCGGAAGUGAUAAUAAAAGUAGGAAUGCUGUCACUAGAACGGACCACACAAAAAGUGGUAAUCUAUGCAUAGUCAUUCCAGGUCCACGCAUGUUGAAGAUAGUUGUUAUAAAAUUGAUAGAACCUAAAAUUGAUGAAAUACCUGAUAGAUGAAGACUAAAAAUUGCUAAAUCAACUGCUCCUCCAGAAUGGCUGGUAAUACCACUUAAGGGCGGAUAGACUGUCCACCCAGUGCCGCUGCCCACUUCUACUAAGGCUGAGCUUAAUAGGAGCAAGAGACUUGGUGGCAACAACCAGAAUGAUAUAUUAUUUAAUCAUGGAAAUGCCAUGUCAGGUGCACCUAUCAGAAUCGGAACAAACCAAUUACCAAAUCCACCUAUCAUCGCCGGCAUAACCAUAAGAAAGAUCAUUAAAAAAGCGUGAGCCGUUAUUAAAACAUUAUAAAGUUGAUGAUUCCCACCAAGAAUUUGAUCGCCGGGUCGGGCUAAUUCCAUACGAAUCAGUACGGAGAAGCAUGUGCCCAUCACUCCUGCAAUGGCACCGAAGAUGAAAUAGAGAGUCCCAAUAUCCUUGUGGUUAGUAGAGAAGAGCCAUCGAACCAGAUUUGUCAUUUGCUGUUUUUUAGAAAUGAAAACUUUCCUUAUCAAAGAGGGGCCGGGGGGCUGGAAGAGAAGAAAGAGAAUAGUAAACGCUGGAAGAGAAAAGAAUCAGAAUUACUGAGCUACCCCGCUCUUUUUUUUUUCUAAUUCCCUUCUAAGAUCCUCCGACUUAGACAAGUCGAGAGCAUGCUCGUGCUCCGCCUUUUCGAGACUUGCCUUGCUCUUGGGGAUUUCUUCCCACCGGAUCCUCUGUUCCACUUCCAGGCACCUCCUUGCGGAGCUUUCCGCCUCAAGGAAAUCCCGGUUGUGGGAAACAGCAUUUUCAAAGAAAACUGAUCCUCCCUCAUUCUCCCGCAGAUCUUGAUAAGACGCUUGGAGAACAGUGAAAGAAUCAGUUGCGUGAAUAUGGAAAAGAUAGGAACGAAGCGCUUCAUCGACCAAGUAGGGCUCGAUCGGUAGAUAAGGCCCUACUCUUUGAUAAAGCGCCACAAAUUCCUGAAUGACAUCUUGUCGCAUAGAAGAGAGCUUUUCUUCCAUUAGGAAGAGCUUAAGCCGCCCAGGUAUGUCUUCCAGGGGGGUAUUGUGAAACAGCUCGUUCUGAAUGAACGUAACCCAUCCCGGAUCCUGCUCGUAAAGACUCAGAUAGAAGUUUAGCCCUGCUAAAUGAGCUAGAGCCUGGGGGUCUUGAAUCUCCGGCGGGAGAGUGAUCAGAAAGGAGGAGCCGACGAAGCACGAACAAAAAAGAUUGAAAACGGCUAUUACUAUUAAUAUAAAACGCCAAAGGAAUAAAAAUAUACAAAUCGAAAGUAAUAUAAAAUUAUAUAUUAAGGGAAACUUAAUACAUAAGAAAAAAUAGAAAGUAGUAAAGCGAGUAGUGGAGAAGAGCCAUCGAACCAGAUUUGUCAUUUUCUUUUCGUUUUGAAAACUUUCCUUAUCAGAGAGGGGCCAGGGGGCUGGAAGAGAAGAACUUGAAUAGUAAACGCUGGAAGAGAAGAACCUUAAUACUAAACCAAGUUUCGGGAACUUCUUGGUGACUUGAUUGGUUCCCUUCCCCCAAUUUGCAAAGGAUGAUUCCCGUGAAGGUGAUCUCGAUCACCAUUCUAUGAUAUUUCAGGAUGCUUUUGAGAAGCUUUUCCUUUUACCUAAUGCCGGCUACCGACAACUUACUUCAUGCUAUUACUAACACUUAUGACUGAGCCGCACUUGCUUUCCAAAAGAAAUUGAAACUAUCAUGCCUGAGACUAGCCAAUAGAAGAAAGAGCCACAAGCAAGCCAUAGCAGCAUCCUUUUUCUUCGCUUUCUUCAACAAUGCGAAUCUACCUCACUCCUCAUCAUAACUCAAAUACAAAUUCGAGUUCCAAAUUGAUAUUUCCUCACGUAAGCAAUAAAAUGUGAAACCAAUAUUCAUCAUGAAACUUCAGACACUGAUGAUUGUGAGGUUCUGGAAGAGAGACGACGUAGGCUGAUUCAAAGUAAACAGAAAACCACCCCUUAAACUCAUUUGCUCAACAUUCUUUCCACAGCAACUAGAAAAGUGGAGAAAAUCCAAUAAGGGGAGGUCCCGGUGAAUACAAAUCAAUUGGAAACCGAACCCAGCAUUCAUGUCUCUAACAAGGCUGUCUAAGCUAAGCGGCCAUGGACCCAUGGACCCGGGGAAUCUGAACCAUUAGGUAGAGUUUCAGCUGAAAGAAAACCAGGUCAAUCUUCCGAUCGCGAGUCUUUACAAGCUUGAAACAACUUAAGCACAGGCGGGAGUCGCCCCUUUUAAAGUCAGUAUUUAUGCGGCGCUGAACUAACGAGCGGAUACCUAACCUUCGAAGGAGAAGAAAAGACGGAUGUAUCUUUCAUUCAUAUCGAUCAGAUGUGCUUUGCUCAGGACUCCCAUUUUACCAUUGCUUAAGCCAUAUUACAUAAAGCAUAGUGAGUGAUACGCAAUGCUGGUACCACCAUGUUUUUUUCCUCACUCUGUGUAGCCACACUCGUUUGUCCAUUUCUACUUAUUAUUUCUGUUAAAUAGUAUCCGUUGGUUGUAGAAGCACUGGCGUUCAGGGAUUGCAAAAUCCAUAAUAUCAAGAAGCGGUAGGAACCUGGCUAACUUCGAUGCGGAUAACGCGCUGUAGAAGAAAGUGGAUCAACCAAAGUAGACCUUGAUCGAAAGGCACCACAAGGCGAACCAAUAGAGUGUGGUGUAAGCGGUGAAGCAGAAUAGGAAUUGGAACUGCUUGAACUAGAAAGGGCUUCCGCUACCACGCUACCUCGGGAGCUCCGGAAACGGUAUACUCGCUUCACUCAUCUGUAAUGGUAUCCUCGAAAGCUAGCUAAAGUGGGUUCUAGACAAAGUUCUCCUAAGCAGGGCGGAAGGAAAAACAAGAGCAGUAUAGCUCUACAUUACGCUUCGGGGGCCUCGUCUUACUCACUCACCUUCUACUAAUCGGACCGUGACAAAACAACCAGCCCAGCAAUAGGCAAGGACUGGCUGAAAUCCCUUUCUGGAUCCAGUCUAUCCGUAUCUGCUGUCCCUUCCGCUUUCUGUGUUGAUGGAGCUCGGUCAGAUAGUUCCGGUAUUGCGAAGGAGGGCAACGCAUUGGGAUCGUCCAAUCCCUUCUGAUCGGUUGUCAUAUUGAAUUGAAAAUUCUCGUAUAGUAAGAGUUCCUUCGGUUUCCUACCUAGCACAUUCUCUGUUGUCUACGCCAAUAUUUGACCUGCGAGUAGAGUGUGGCUGGCUACAUACGGGGGAACUCAACCUACCUUUCGAAGGGUAGACCUUUACAGAUGAGUGAAACGAGGAUUUAGGUAUAUAAGGAGACGACCCGCCAAGCGAGCCAGCCUGAUACCGACUUUCAUUGAUAGGCCAUGAAACAUAGAGAAUGGGAACUUGUUCGCACGUACCUCGACCGCAGGUCUGAGAAUGACGAGUGUGCUUUCGCCCACAGCUUCUGUUGCUUAACCGGCUCGUGGUGUUUAUGGUCCUGACCCGGUACAGCCGCUAAGCUCAUUUUUCAUUUCCAAGUGUUGUUACUAGCCUCGAGAGAGAUGUUUCACAGGAUUCACCUGCAACUGAUAAACCAGGGGGAUAAUACCGAAACAGUCCUUUUUUUUUCUGAUCAUAGAGGAGCCGUAUGAAGCUAAGGUUUCAUGUACGGUUUUGCAAUAGCGGUGGGAGCUGUGAUGUUAUUAUCGACUAUGAUUAUCUAACAGUUCAAGUACAGUUGAUAUAGUAGAAGCACAGCCAAAAUAUGGUUUUUUUUAUGGAAUCUUUGGCGUCAGCCUAUAGGCUUUCUAGUUUUUAGAAUUUCUUCUUUGGCCGAAUGUGAAAGAUUACCCAGAGGGGGAAUUAGUUGCAGGUUAUCAAACCGAAUAUUCCGGUAUCAAAUAUGGUUUCUUUUUUCUUGUUUCUUACUUAUCCUUAUUAGUUUCCUCUUUAUUUGUAACAGUUCUUUACUUAGGCGGGUGGAAUUUCUCUAUUCCCUACAUAUCCACGAUUCUCCCAGUGUAGGAAUCACACUAGUUAUCUUGACCUUGAUUCGGUCAAGCAGUUUUUCCUUACUAUACUCCAGUACGAACAGGAAAAGAAUCUGUGUACUCAACGGUGCAUUAGUAAUUAUCUGGGAUUUCUUUUGCUCUUUAAAGCAAAACGGUGUCUUGACUCUCAAGAAUAGUGCGUGUUAAUAUCCAUGUAGAUAAAGAUAGAGAUAGCAACGAACUGGAUGCAUAGUAAAACUCAAAACUUGUGACUUGUUCUCGUAGGCUAACUAACCAAAUCAUAGGAUCUAACACGAGACCGGAUAAACACCGCGCCCCCGCCGCGUCUAUCUAUAUAAGCUAAUCCCUCGACCUCAACCGACUCCCAAAUCUCAAUUGCUUUGGCUCUCUCUCUCCCUCCCUUUCGCCGCGUGCGCCGUCCAAUCCAAACCAAUCCCAAGUCCCCACCCGCUCGCGGCGAGCAAAGCAAGAUGAUUUCCCCGGACGCGGCCCGCAACGUCGUCGGCAAUGUCAUCUCCUUCGGCCUCUUCCUCUCCCCUGUGUAAGCCGCCGCCGCCAUCCCCCUCGUCCGCUUGUCUAGUCUACUCUCUAUGGAAGGUGGUUGGUAAUUAGGGUUUGAUUCUGAUGAGGGGGCGCUUGCUUUUUGCUUGUACAUGUGCAGGCCGACGUUCUGGCGAAUCAUCAAGAACAAGGACGUGGAGGAGUUCAAGUCGGACCCGUACCUAGCGACGCUGCUCAACUGCAUGCUCUGGGUGUUCUACGGCAUCCUCUGCGUCAUAUUCGGCUCGGCAAUGUACGCCUCCCCGCUCACCAUCAUGGUACGUACCCAUCGAUCCCGCUCUUGAUCCACGUGCAUAGAUGUCUUUUUAGAUCUAUAUUGGUAGAUGUUAGUGAUAUUGUUGGGGAAUAGGCGUGCGUUCCCCUUCGGUUGGUGGCGGCGGUGAUGUUGUUGGUGUUGUGUGGAUGAGGGUUUCAUAGGUUAAGUUGUCGUGCAUGGUCACUUACUGCUGGGUCAGUCAAGGAUUUUUUGGACCCAGCUGUCAGUGACACGUUGCCUUUGCAGUUCAGAAUGGAUUGGUGAUUCAGGGGUUCUACUGUUUAAGAUUAAAAAAGCCGAUAUUAAUUCUUCUGGAACUUCUAUUUAAAAACAGAUUAGCCAUAUUCAUCUUCUCCAGUCUCCAGGUUCUUUUCUGAUUACUGAUUAAUGAUGGGUUGCCAUCAUCUUUCAAAUCUGUUGCAUGAUCUAGACACAGUGAUCUGUGAAGGAUCUUGCAGCUUACUCAGGGCAAGUGACUCAUUAGGUUAUAGUUGAGGCAUUCAUUAUGUACCACUAUUAGCAUACCUUAGUUGCUGUUUGUUCUGGAAGCAUGGAUGCGGAAGCCAAUUUUGGAACCAAAUCCAUCUCUAAAAGAUGCAUCAAUGGUCCUGUUUUAACCAUCGUGUCAAAUCUCUUCUUUCCCCCUUUUUACCAGUAAAAACCAACGUGCUACCUUUUGGGCUAAACUGUCAUGGUGUUCGUGUGGCACAUCCCAAGAACAUGUUGCUCUAUGUUCCGUCAAAAGGCCUAUUGUUCGUUUCUACCUAAAAAGAUACCGUAGCCCCUACGUGUCCUCUGAUUAUCGAUGCGGUAUCCUUGGUUACUUGCAGUUGCAUUCAAUACAGGCAGUUCUGUUGUACAAUUGAUUAGCCAACCAAACUUGUUCUGUUGUUCUCGCCAAACUCGUUGGCUGUUGAGUGACGGGUCUGGAACGGGAGGAAUAUUUCAUCUAAUGAAAUCUGCCAUGUUCAGCUUCAUCAUAAACAUAUGUGUUCACCUAGGGGAUGCAAGUUUCAGGUGUGCCAGAUUUCGAAUCAUGUGUUCUUGGAUGGAGAUAGUACAUGUGUCCCUGUACCAGUCUGUGCUUUUUGUGAUCUUCCCUUGCCAACUCUGUGAGAUGAUCACGUUGAAACGGAAAAGGGAUCCUGUAUGUCGGUUUCUUCUCGUGGGUCAUGUGGUCCAGGUGUAGAGUUCACCAAUAUUACCUGUGGAAUUUAUUUACAUUUUACAUAGAACAUAGAAUCAAUCUUGUUAAUUACCUAUGUCUGUGUAAUAUAUAUAUAUAUUUUUUGAACGCUCGAGCUGUUGCAUCCUGUGCUUGGAAUUAAUGAAUAUAUAUUUUUGCGGGGAGGAAUUAAUGUGUAUUGUGUGUUGCGUGCAGGGUAAAGUGAUCAAGACCAAGAGCGUCGAGUACAUGCCCUUCUUCCUGUCGCUGGUGAGCUUCCUCAACGGCGUCUGCUGGACGUCCUACGCUCUCAUCAAAUUCGACCUCUACGUCACGGUCAGUAAUAUCUCCAUCUUCAGGUUCCAACCAAAUCUUAUAUAACUUGAGAGUGUCUCUCUAACCGUGCCGGCUCUUGUCUUCGUUCGUGCACUGCAGAUCCCCAAUGGCCUCGGUGCGCUGUUUGGCCUCGUCCUGUACGCCUGCUACUACAAGUCGACCCCCAAGAAGGAGAAGAACGUCAAGCUAAAAUGUGAUUGAAGGCCCGCCCGCUUCCUGGCUCCUUGACUGCAAUAACAAGUGCUAGCUACAGUAAGAACAAGGGAAUCUAGAGACCGAGACUGAAAGAAAAGGCUAGGCUACUUCUAUUCGUUAUUCGUUUCCCAUAUGAUUUUCCAUAUUUUACCAUAAAAAAUAGGAUGUUUUUAGCCAUUUAUUGUUAGUACUGAAAUCAGGCAUAAAGGAUUUUACGGGGGGUAAAGAAGUUAUUUCAACAACGUUCCUGUCAUCAAAUCCUGAUUCAACAAAGCCAUGCCAGCUGUGUUGGUCGUUCCUCCGAUUCAAAGUUCUCUUGGAUUCCAAAAAGCAUCGCUACCCGCAUACUGAAGUUGCUUAAAUCUAUUGAAUUCCACCUCUGCACCUCUUUCUUGGGGCAUAGGUGAACCUAUAAUUGAUAGUAGAGCGUAUGCUAAAUCCCCAACCCUCAUGAUGCACUUCGUUUGAUUCAUUCCGCUUAUCGUACCACUUAGAGCUUUCAAACCCUUUUCUUAGCGAUGCGGUAAUAUGUUGUUAUUUAGAAAUAGGAAUGGUAUGUUUAAUAGCUCGCAUAUGUGUGUUUCAGAUUCUAUAGUACUCGGUUCUUCUGUUCGACGAGUUCUGAUUUUCCUAGGUCUAAUAAUAUGUAUACUGGUUCGUUUUCACCGGAGGAGGCAGCUAGAAAUCCUGUUUUGUCAGUAGGUUGGCGUACAAGGAGGAUAAAGGAAAGCCCGUUUGUAGUUCAAUUCGUUAGAACCAAAUGGCACGUUGAGAAACGAGAACUUCCACAUGCCGAGCAUCAUUACCGUACUGGUGACUUCACCACCUGUUCAACUAUUAGCUUUCUUGCCUUAUCACAAUCGAAUGAAUUGAGACAACCAGAGCAACUGGAACUACUACAUCUGAGAGAGAUGAGGAACCUAACCUACGGUGAAAGCCGAAAGCCUUACGCAUUGCUUUAAGAAUGGGUCUAGCGGGCGUAUGGAAUCCGUGACCCCUAUCUCUUCACUUUCUUAAUUAUGACAGUCAAGUUGAAUCGAUUUUACGGGGUUUCUUACCCGUUUUUCCAGUCUCAGUAAAGUGCCAUCAAUUGGAUGAAAGAAUCCCGCCCUCUAGUCGAGUGUGAAGGGAGGAGAAGAGGGAAGAUGGUUAUUCUUUUUCUUCUAGGCAAGGAAUGGGUAAACGCAGCCCUGUAAGGAGUAGGUAGCUCUCAGCCCUUCCCGGAAUGUAUUCAUUGGUUGCUGUAAGCCCUACUUUCGAUCAAUAAGUAAUACGCGAAGUCGCUAGCUCCACGUGCCAUGCGCAUCCUUCUCUUAACCUUUCAAUCGAGAGUCAUCAACGCUUGCCUUGCUUUGCUUGCCCAGUCUAUUAGUAUGGCAUCCCUUCUCCUUAGUCCUCUUUGGCCCGUGUGCCGGCGCGCAUCCAUCUUUAGCAGGAGAUAGGAGUGUUUGUUCCGCUAAGGAAAGGAAGGUAUUCGUCGUAGGCGCAGAAGGUAUUCGUCGUAGGAUUGAGCUGAGCCAGGUAUGUCACAUCACAUAGCUUGCAAGCCCAGGUGAUUUCUGCAUUACCAAUCGAGCCGAGGAACCAACUUAGUAAAGAAUAACCUACUUUACUUGUUUCGUUAUGCUAUAGCCACCUAAUAAAGGGAAGAUUCCUAUUAGAAGAAGAAGAAGUUGGCAAUCUACUAAUCAAGAUCGACCAAAAUGGAUAGUUCCAUUAACUAUAUGGCAUUUCUAGCCCGAAAAGUAUGAGGUACACAUAGGUAGGGAGCAUCAUCGUACUCAAUCCUGCUUAGGUAGAGCAAGACAAACGGAUCUAUCAUUCCGCAAGAAGUGACUCGUUUCCUUUUCUGGGUAAGAAGAGGGGAGGUCCCGUCGACCAAGAAGAAUACCUUCUCCAAGCAAUCGAACUCUUCCUUUCUUUCUAUAGCCACUGUACUCCAUCGAGGAUAAGACGGAUACGCGAUUUCUGCACUUCCUCCGCUUGCCCCUCAGUGGAUAGCACUUUCUUUCGAGAAAUUGGCAGGGACUGCGUACCAUUAAAGGGAGUCAGUGGGCACCGUAAGUAGUAAUCGAGAACUUGAUGAACAUACCAACCAGUAUGUGAAUCCGUAAAACAAGUGGAGGUUUUUCUUCCUUCCCCGAUAUCCCUCGCUCUACCCAACUAUCUAUAAUGGGGCAGAGAAGGAUAAGCAAAGUAGGCGCACGAAUAUUUAUUAAUUAAGAGUUUUCGAGACUUCAUUCUCUUUUUAGUUUUGACUCUGGGUCCGGUACAGGUUGACGCGGAGGAUAGGGAUGGGAAAAGAAGCCCUAGCUUUGGGAAAGACCGGAUCAUAACAUGAAUUUCAGGGCAUACUUAGUAGAUGCAGAUCUAGGUACUCUUUCUUCCCCAGAUGGGGAAUGGGCCAAGCCGAUCCGUUGUUGGCUCUGAAAGUGCAUUUGCUAGUUCGAAAGAAGCUGAAUCCGGGUGCAAAUGGGAUUCCAAAUGAUUCUUAUGUUUCGUAGCAUGCUGCGCAGACUCACUUGGUAAAUAGCCUUCCCUAAAAGAGGCAAGGUGCUCACACAUGAAAUUCCCUUUUGAAGGAUAUCCUAUUUUACUUUUAUGCCAUACUUGGGCAAAGCCAUCGAGACUAUAUCCAUCACCAGGAAGAAGAGAAGCGAAGCCAUAAUUUCUUUAGGAUAAGCCUGAGAUAUCUAGUACAGUAACAGUGGUCGAAUUGCUGCAUAGCCCCCCCUAACACGAAUUUGGCAAAUCCUCGUUCUAAAGUUAGCGCACCAUUGAGGUAAGUAAAUAUUAGUAGGCACACAGGCAGCCCGUUGCAAGGAAGGAAAGAGCAAGAGCUAGGGCUAAGUGCUCGAGUUACGGUUGUUGACUCGGAAUUGUAAGCCGAAGAAGCAUUCCUGUGACCUGGCCGUAUGAAUGGUUUCUUUCUCAAUACCAGAGCUAAAUAAUUAGGCAUCAAAAUUCAAAGAAGGUUUGCCUUCACUUCAACCUUAACCAUUGACGGAAGAUUCAUACCUAUGAAUAUUCCCCUCCUCAUUUGCUGAAAGCACUUCCUAUAGCGAACCAGGCAAGGAACAUAUCGAGUAGGCUAGUACCAAUUCCUCCACAUCAACAGCAAAAUAGGCAUAUGAAUCUUAAGUAGGAAAUUCCUUCAUCUCAGAUGAGGUAGGUAAUCUACCAGAAUUUAUUUCCAUUUCCAGGUAAGAUGAGCGGAGACGAGUUUAUCAGCACCGAUACCCCCACGCAUCGUGGCCGGUUCCCUCGGGGGUAGAAACUUAGCUUGGAGAAAGAUCCCGUUGAUCUUCGGGCUGGCCCUUGCCUAUUGAAAGUAUGGUGUCUCAUAAAUGCUUUGUUAAUGCCUCUUAUUCGUAGGAUCGGUCCAAAGCGCGGCUGAGUUGACGUUGAUAGACUUGUGCGUGCUCUGCCGCUCGUAACCUUUUUUUUCUCCCAUCGAUCGAAUCGAGGAGGUCAAGUUUCGAGAGCCUCUCGCUUCUGAUUAUCAGUCAUAUCAUCGUCGAGCAGAACGCGCAGGGAAGGAAUCGUCGAGUUCACUGGGAAGAAUGGCGUCCAUGCCAACGACUAAGGAGAAGGGGACCAGUGGCUAUACAGAUUGACG